UCAGCACUGCAGCAAGGACAGCUUCCUCCGCCUCAUAUGCAUUCCAUGCCACAGCCACAACCUCAAAUUAAUCAGACUCAGUCUCAUGAUAAUCAAAUGAACCCUCAGUUGCAGUCAAUAAAUUUACAAGGUUCUGUGCCUACAAUACAAGCAAACAACAUGACAAGUUUACAGCAUAAUUCUUUGCCUUCUUUACCUGGGGUUGCGACAGAGCAGCAGACCAUGUUAAAUUCACUGCAGCCCCGUUCCAAUUUGGAUGCAGGACAACGUAAUGCCCUAGGCUCAAUGCAGCAGGCUGCUGCAGGACCCUUACAACAGAAUCCUGUGAGUUCCUCCCAACACGCAAAUAUUAACAUUUUAUCUCCACAAAGUGGCUUAAGUGUCCUGCCGCAAAACAUGAAUCCUCUUCAGUCAAAUUCCAACAUACUUCAGCACCAGCAUAUAAAACAACAAUUGGAACAGCAAAUGCUGCAGUCACAAAUGUACAAACAACAGUUUCAACAGUGUCAGAUGCAGCACCAAUAUAUGCAGCAGAAGCCGCAGCUACUGCAACAACUACAGCAACAGCAACAAAAGCAGCUGCAUCAAACGGAUGAUAUAAAUGACGUGAACAUGAGACAGGGAAUAGGUGUUAAUCCUGGGUUCUUCAAGCAAAUCUCCCAACUGGCCAACUUCCAGGAUAUUCAUAUGAGCAUUCAAAACCUAGUGCCCAGUUUCUUACAUCUUCACCCCUACUCUUUGAGGCUCCAUUUGUCCCACCUACUUCAACCCUGUUGAGUCCAUAUCCCACGCCUGAGAACUCUGAGAAAUCCAUUUAUGGCGCUUCCUCUCUGUCAAAUAACAAAAAUAUUAGUCAGCAGCAAGCAAGAUCUGAAUGCCCUGCACCUGACACACCUGGUAAUGGUAUGUCAACAUCACAUUUGCUUGCAGGGUUCGAAAAUGCUAAUGAUACUCACAGUAAUGCUUUAACAACUGAUUUUGGCAAGUCGAAGGUUACAGAACAGCCCCAUGAUCCCGGAGUUACCAUGGUUAGCGAAGCGUUAUUAAUUUUCAUUUUCACAUGCUCUGUUUUCAAUUUUCUCCUUUGGCUUGAUAUGUUGUUCAUGUGGUAAAAGAGUGGAAAAAAACCUUGAAAUCCUUUUUUUUUUUUUUUUCUUUUUGAUUUUAUCUUCUAGUAUAGUUUGUUUUAGCUUUAGAAUUGAUGUCGGUCUAUUACUAUUUUAUAAGUUUCAGGCAAAACCCAUGUCACUUAAAUCAUUGGAGGCAUCUGUUGUCACCAUGGUUGAUGAGGCAGCCACAGCAGUCGGUGUGGAUAUGGCCGCCAUGAACAAGGGUGGUCUGCAUCCAAGAAAUUUCUUUCCACAAACUGGAAUGACUGGAGUUGAGAAAAUGAGAUACCACAUGAGUGCUUUUGGUAUAUUAGCUAUAAUAAUUUGGUUCAUUAUAAUAGUGUCUGUAUGAGCAGUAGCAAACAAAAUUUCAAGCUUUUAACGUUUGGAUAAAGGAGGAAAGAGCCAUUGGUUAUAGCAUGGAUUUCUCUCCUAACAAGCAAUGACUAUUGACUGAUGAUAUUAUUAUGAGAAAUUGUUGACAAGUGUUUGCUUAUUUAAUGGUUUUUGAACUUGUUUACAUGCUUAUCAAACAUAAUAGGUUUUUGAACAAGAUUGGCUCUGUUAAAUUCCAAACUUUGCCAUGUAAUUUUAACCUAAUUAUUUUGACUAAAACACUACCAGAACUUUGAUUUUAAGUGAUGACUUUCGACAAUCAUUUUUGAAAAAGUGAAAGUAUGGCUUAAGUAAUUUUAGCCCACUAUUUUAAGAAAUUUUUAUUGAAACAUUUAUGCUCUUAUAUUUUGUGAAUACAUAUAUAAAAUGAAAGUUGAUAAAAUCAUUUGUAAAUUACUCAAUAUCAUCAAUUUACAACCUUGCACGAAUUUAAUUUUACUUACUGAAAUUUUAAUUUGAAAAUUUUAAUUUUAAAAUUAGCGUUGAACUAAUAUUUCAUUAUUUGUUGUCAAGAGAAAUUUUAUUUAUUAAUCUUAAAAUGAUGAUUUAUAAUUAUUAUAUAUCAAAUUCAAGUUUUAUCUACUGAUAAUUUAUUUCAUUUUAUAUUGUAUUUUUCUUGAUAACAUGUUGAUUGGUUAAGAUUGAUUUUCUUCUUACUUGUUUAUUUAACUAAUUAUGUUUGAUAAAAGAAUUUGAUUUCUUCUUAAAUGGAAUUUGAGUUAUUUGUGUCUUGGAAGAAAAUUAAAUAAUUUAGUUAAGUUAUAUAUUGAUCAACUAAUACUUUAUUAUUAUAAAUAAAUGAAUUACAACUAGAACUAUUAAAUUAUAAAAAAAUUAUAAUAAUUUUAGAUUCUAUAUAUAGAUACGACAUAAAUUUAUAAAAAAAACAAUAUAAUAUAAUUUUAAAUUUAAUAAAAAUAAUAUAUAAUUUUAAAAAUAAAAAAUAUAUUUUGUAUUUGAUACAUGACAUAAUAACUUCAUCCAUAUUAAAUACAAAUAAAAAGUAUCUAAUUACAACUCUUCGAUAAGUUGGUCGGCAAAUUAGAAAAAAUCACAACCUCGAUUUUAUAUCAAUUUUGUAAAAAAAAUCAAAGAUAAAAAUAUCAAAAGAUCACUUUUACUUUACAAGUUUUUAUAAAAACAAUAAUAACAUGUUUGUUUUGAAAAAUAAAUUUAAGAUAAAAAAUUAUUUUAUUUACAAAUGAAAUAAUAUUAGGACUCGAUCCAAAAUCAAUAAUUUUAUUGAAGUAAAGGAACCAACUCUUAUUACUUAAAUUAUUUUUAUUAUAACAUAAAAGUGGUUAAUUUGGAAAUAAAAAUACAUGAUUGCAAAAAUAAUGUCAAUAUGUAUAUAAAAUAUAAAAUUUGAAAGAGAAAAAUUCAAAAGUGUAAGGAAGAAACAACAAUAAAAGUAAAAAUUGAUAAAAAAAAAAGUCAAUUUAGGGUUUUUUUUUUUUUUUGGCAAUGGUCAUUAUUUGUAGACAUGUCUCUUUUCCAUUCACUUGUGUACAACACGUGACUUUCUUUCUCUCCUUGCUUACUAAGUUUCUUCUUUCUCCUCCUUUUCUCUCACUCUCUUUCCAACCAAACAAAUAAAUCUAUUUGAUUUUCCUUCUUUUACUUUCUUCUAAUAAUGUUUAUUUAUACGUGAGAAUUGGGUAGUUUUCCAAUUCUGUCAAAAAGAAACAACAAAGAAAUUUUAUAAUUUAUUCUCUGUAUACUCAAAGAUAAUCUGAGGCGUGGGUUUAAUUCAAUCUGGGAUUUGGUUUUUUGAAAAAAAAAUCCUUGAGGAAUUUUCGAAGCGGAUCUCUCUUGGGAGCGCUUCUUUGAGGUAAAAAUUUCAAAUUUUUAUAGGUUUUACGGUUCUGUUGCCUUAAUUUCCUCGAAAAUCUUACCUGGGAUUAUGUUUUUGACUGUAAGAAUAAAAGAUUUCAUUUUUUUUUAUUUAAUAUCAACAGGUAAUUAACUUUGUAUAUUUUUUAAUCUUUUUGCUUUGAAAAAAAAUUAGAAAGAUUGAUAGAAUAUUUGGAUACCCAAUAAUGAAAGCAACCCCCAAAACCCGAUUAUUUCUAUUAAACAUAGUUUAAAUCAUAGAUUUUGUUAAUAUUUAUGAUUCUCUUUCUCUUUGUUUUUUCAUUGAAUAAUAUAUGAUAAAGUUCUAGUUAUGGGGCUGAUUUCAUUGGGAAAGUGUCAAAUAUUUAGCUAGAAAAGUUUCAAGUGCAGUUGUUUUUGGUUAGGAGGCUCAACCUUUUAACCGUGAGCCUUGGUAGCAUUCUCAGAAGCCAACUAACAAUUAAUUCUUUAGUGAAUAGCAAUUGGUUGAGUAUUAGCAUUGCUUUCCAGUGAUGUGCUGGUCUAGUGGUGAAAGUAGUGGUGUUUUAGUGAGUUACAGUCCUCCUUAGGCUUAUGAGCAAUGGCCUAGGACAGAGAGAAAAAUCGGAAUCUUAACAGCCUUGUGAAGAAGGGUUACCUAGUAUUAGUAUUAAAUCAACCAAAUUGACAUCCAGUUGUAAAAUUGUGGUUUACAUAGCAAACUAUCAUGUUCAACUUAAGUCAUGGUUGUAGGGUGUCUGUGAGUGUCUAGUAACAUGUCCUGUCAUUUUGUAAGAGCGCGGCAAAUGAUGUAUACUUUCCAAUUUAUCUUACAACGUUAACAAAAAUGAAAUCCUGCUCUUAUGCAUAAAUUUAUGGUUACAAAAACUGUGUUUUACCAGGAAUUUCGUGUCAAGAGAAGGGAGGUGUUUGUUGAAAAGAACUUUGUCAAAUGUUUUGCAUAUUUGAGUAGUGAUUUAUGUCCAAACUAGUUUUUCUUUUUCACUUCCUUUAAUUUAUGACAAAAAAUUUGAUCUGAAUUGUUUGUGACUUUUCUUUUCUCCUUUGGUGUUGUCAGAAUUUGAUGGAUAGCAAUAGCUGGAGGCCUACUCCUCCCAGUGGAGAGCCCACUAUGGAUGCAGGUGAUUGGAGAACCCAGUUGCAGCCUGAUUCACGACAAAGAAUUGUUAACAAGAUGUAAGUGAAUUUUGUGGUCUUAUUAUUUGUUAAAUAUACUUGUUGUAUUUAAGUUACUGAUAUUCUGUGGAUUGUCUUUCAUAGUUUUUCAAUAUUGUUAAUAACCAAACAAUACCAUCAAUAAAACCAUAUUUCCUAUUCCUUAGCGCUUUCUUUGUUUUGUAAAUACAUAGCUCGAGAAUCAAAGCUUGCUCUUACCCAGAGUUUGGGCACAAUAUAUAGGCCACGUAUCUGGAAGCCUGAUGUGGCUAAGCUAUUGGGUCCAAUUCUGUGUGGCAUACUUGGUAUCGACAUUUAAUGAAUUUAUGUGAUUGAAUGAGGAUAAAUUUUGCUUUUAAAUCUUUUGCUUCUUGUAAGCUUGGGACUUGUUUUCUUAUUUGAGUGCUACUGUAUAUGGAUUGAUGGUUCUCUUUUCUUCUUACUAACUGAGUUAUACCCAUUCAUUAAAUAACUUAUAGCUGUAACAGACACUAGUGGCCUUGCUUUUCUACAUCAUUUUAUAAACAAUGGUAAUUUUGGUACGUGGUCUAUUUGAAUGUAGCUGAUAUAUGAAGGUCAUGAUGGCCACUUUGUUUAUUUGGGAGAACUUUGUUAAAUUCCUAUGCCGUGGCUUCUGGAUAUUUGAAUGAUACAGUCCUGAACAAGUUAAUGAGGAAAAUCUUUUGGUGGUCAGAUUAUAUCCUGGUUAAUUUUCAUUUGAUUUUAUGUUAACUUCGCAAUUUGGUCAUGGCAUUGUUUUAUUAACCAUGGAAGAUUCUUAUAUAUAUCCUAUUGGUUUGUCAAUAACUUACACAAUGCCUUGUGUGCAUAGAAUGGACACAUUGAAGAGGCACCUUCCAUUUUCUGGCCAAGAGGGUUUAAAUGAACUCAGGAAAAUCGCAUUAAGGUUCGAGGAAAAGAUUUUUACAGAAGCAAACAGCCAGGUAAUCAUAGAAUAUCGGCAUUCCUUAACCUGCUUGGAUGCAUUGUUGUUUACCUAUAUUUUGUUUGUUUGCGUUGUGUGUAUGUAUCUUUGUGUUUCUUUUUUUUUCUUAUUCAUAUGUGUAGACAUGCAUACACCUAGACUUCUUGUCAAUUACAUUGGAAGUAAAUAAGAAAGAAAUCCAGGGAGGAAAGAGAGCAGAGGUAGGAAAAAACAAAGAUGCUAGAUGCUAACUCAUUAUUAAGCAUGGUUAAUAUAACAUAUUCGAUAAUCUUGUCUUGUAUUUGAAUAAUGAAGUAAAGCUUGUUUACUCUAAUGCCGUAAUGGAUUUCUAUAUUCAGUCUGAUUAUCUGAGGAGAAUAUCCUUGAAGAUGCUUACUAUGGAGAACAAGUCUCAGAAUACUAUGCCCAACUUUGGGAAUAACAGCAAGCCCCCUGAUCCAGGUAAUAGCAGGAAACAGCAUUUUGCUUUGAUGUAUUCUACAAGUAGGACAUUUUCCGUUUACAUGUCCUUUCUGUUCUUUAACACGCAGAGUUGUUUAACUUGCAACAUUUAUGCACAUAUUCUUUCUGCAGCUAUUUGAAUGAAAAUUACCUAUAUUUUAACUCUUUUGUCCCCUUAACAAAGCGUGGUUGUUUUGGUGGGUUGGAGUUGUUUAAGGGAUUGAUUUGAUGAACACCCAAACAGAAAGGCCUAUUUGCUGUUCCCAUGAUUGUAGUCUUUCUGCAUGGGAUGCACCUCUUCAUGUGCUAGGCCUAGGAAUAAUUUUAUUAUUUUUUCAUGAUCCUUAUGGUAUGAUUCAAUUGCCCUCACCUGUUUUAAGUCUAGUCAUCGUUUUGAAUGAAUUAAUUACUGCUUCAGUAUUUUUGUUGUUUAUCUUGUUCUAAAUGUACUUCAAUUCAGUUAAUGUGGGUUCUUCCCAACUUUUCUUUCUGAAUAUAAAAAUCUUGGGUAGGUUCUCAGGGCAUGCAAAACCAAGUUCACAGUCAAGGGCAAUCAAUUCCUAUCCCAUUACAAAGUAAUCAGUCUCAAGCACGUCAACAACUAUUACCCCAGAGUGUUCCAAAUAACAUGUCAUCUGCUGGAGUUCAAAGUUCUACUGGUUUACAAUCUGGGAUGCCUUCUGUCUCUGGACCAACCCAGAAUUCUAUACCUGAUGUUGUUGGCCAGAAUUCCAACAUGCAAAACUUGUCUGAAAUUUCACAGAACUCACUGGGGCAAGGGAUAUCUUCCAAUAUUUUUACUAUUCAGCAGAGGCAAAUGCAAGGAAGGCAACGGGUGCUACUGCAACAGCAGCAGCAGCAGCAGCAGCAACUAUACCCUCAGCAGUUACAACAGCAACUUAUGAAGCAAAAGAUUCAACAAGGAAAUCUCCAGCCUUCACUUAUGCAGUUUCACAUGCCGCAACAGCAACAGCAAAACCUGUUACCACCUACUCAGUUGCAAUCUUGCUUGCAAUCUGGUAUGCAAACAUCAUCCGUUAUGCAGCCAUCUGCCAUGCAAUCAACUCCUCUUACUGGUCUUCAAAAGAAUCAACAAUCUUCUCUACAAGAGUCAAUACAGUCCAUGCUUCAACAGCAUCAACAGCCGCAAUCGGCCACCAGUGUUGGUAUUCUUCAACAACAAACAGCAAUGACACAGCAGUCAAUGAUGCCUCAGCAGCAGCAACAGCCUCCACAGCCACAGCAACAGCUGCAGCAGCCAAACAUAAUGGGACAACAGACAAAUGCUGCAAAUAUAAAGCAAAAUCAGUUAAUUGGACAACAAAAUAGCAUUGUGGACAUGCAGCAGCAGAGAUUGCUAGGCCAGCCUAAUAAUCUUCCAAACCUGCAGCGGCAGCAGCAGCAGCAUCAGUUAAUGGCUAAACAAAACCUCUCAAAUAUCCAUCAGCAACAGUUGGGUCCUCAAAGUAAUAUUUCAGGAUUACAGCAACAGCAGCAGCAGCAAUUGAUUGGAACCCAGUUGGGUAACUCAAGCAUGCAAACUAAUGAGCACAUGCUACCCCAGCCUAAGGUUUCACUCCAACAAACGCAGCAGAGUGCACCUAAUUUGUUACCAACUCAACGACAGACAUCCCAGCAGCCAGCAGCCAGCAGCAGCAGCAACAGCAACUGAUGUCACAGAUGCAAUUACAGUCUACUCAGCUGCAGCAACAAUUGGGUUUGCAAACAGCAGCCCAAUCAAUUACACCAAAAUAUGCAGCCAAGGCUUCACGCAUCAGGUCAACUAUCAUGUUCCUUGCUUCAAUCACAAAAUUUGAUAGAUCAGCAAAAGCAUUUGUAUCAAUCGCGCAGAGCUGUUCCAGAGACAUCAUCAAGUAUGUUUUUGAAUGUUUGCAGUUGCUUACUUUGUUCUUUCCUUGUUUCUUUCUGAUCUUGUGUUAUUUAACUAAUCUAUGCAAUUUUUUCCUCUGAUACUAGCACAUUUUAUCCUUGAAGCCUGAAAAAAAUCUAUUUUCUCAUAUAGCUACUAUAGUUGAUGCUAUUGUUUUUCAUUGCAUUUCUAUUACAGAAAAUAAUUUCCAUUCCAACUUGGGGGGAUUAAGAGAAUAUCUUUUUGAACUUGCACUACGUUGUCCUAUCAAAGCACAUUUUGCCUAGAUGAUUAGUUCUUAGCUAACAAAGACAAAUGCUACCAAAAUUAAUGGCACCCUUGCCUUCAUAAGCUGAUCAUGGGCACUGCCUGGCUUUUUAUGCCACCAGAAACAUUGUUGUUACUGUGGAAAACUCAGAAAUAAAACUGUGGAAAUCUAAGAGUAAAAACUGAAUGUUUAUUGAAAAAUUACACAUUAAGAAUUAUACAAGAACCUUAGUUUAUAUACAAUUAACUAGGGGUUCAACUGGGAAACUAAAUCUUCCUAAAAACUGAUCCUAUGAUUGAGGGAUUGUCUAUCAUUAUCCUUAAUUCUAGGGAUACAAAUACUUAAUUCUAGAGAUACAAAAAUUAAUAUACAGAUUACAAGAUUCCGUGUCACUGCUAAGUUUCCACUGCUGUCACUGUGCUAUUAUGUUACUUUUAACACUCACUCUAGUUAUUAUGCAAUGAUUUUGUCAAACCACAAAGCAAUGGCUGGAUUUAAUCUAUUCAUUUUAUCAACAAAUAAUUCAUGCUGUUUUAUUCAACGAGUUUUCAUGUUUGGCUAUAAAACAUUCUUCUGGAAAUAAGUAAACUGUGUUUUGUGUGCAAAGAGAAGUGACCAUUUUGUUGGUUAAGCUCAAAGAGCAGAAACAAAAUGCAUAAACUCACUCAUACCCCUCAUAUUCAUUUGAAUUUUAGAAUAGUCAGAUAUUUCUAGCAGCUUGUUUGAUUAUGUCGGGUUGGUGUGAUUCCUUUGUCCGACUUAAAUAUUGUUGUUCUUUCUUGUAAUCUAGCUUUCAAAAAUGUUCCCACCACUUAAUUUAACAAAAAAUUAUGAUUAGGAGAUUGCAGUCCUGAUUGAGAACAGCUAGUUACUGUUUUUGCAUCAAAAUAGAGGGUAAACAUGCUUGCAAAUGUCAGAGGAGUUUUGUUUGAAUGAAGAAUGCAUAACGAAUGACUAGAUAAGCAAGAGGGUGACAGCGAGCUGGUUCAUGCAUGCAUGAAAUGGUUAAAAGGGUGUCAAAACUCAAAAUUGUCUUAGUAGUGUUUUGAUUUAGUCUAACGGCUUUUAUUGAAACAUUAAAUUUGUGCUGUAGAAAUAAUUAAGUUCUAUAUGAACCCUAUAUUCCUUGAGUCUAAUUUGUUCCCUAAAUUUUUUUAGUACUUGAGUUUGACUCGCCCUUAUUUGCUUGACAUAUUUAUUUUUAAUGAAUAACAAGUCUGUAGCAGAAAAUAGUUUAACUUUUUUUAGGUUUUCCUUCUCAUGAACACUUAAACUUAUCUAUCAUUUACUCCUGUUCCAACUGAACUUCUUUUUUGUAGAUGGCAAAUGUAUAGUUAGCUUUUAACUUGAGAAACUCUAUAAGUAGCCUUGAAAAAUAAGAAAGAUGUUUGAACUUGGAAUUUGUCUCUCUGUGUCACUAUGGAAAGUCAAAAUUAAAAAAUUUUCUACUUUUGUAAGCGUACAUCUUAGAAUAUCCCAAAAGUAAAAGGCAGUGAAAACGGGGUGUAGGGAGCAUGUUUUUAAUGAGUAACCUCUAAAAUUUGGAUACGCAUGGUUAGUUGCAGAAACUAGCAAUAAAAUUUUCUCAUAUGUCAAUGUCCAAAAUGUUUAAUGGUUUCUUCAAAUGCCUUUCAGUUGUAACCCGUGGUGGGUCUGAUGGAAUUUUGGGACAUAGGAAUUGAUUAUUGGUUGCAUUAUGAACCCUGUCGAUAUCCCGAUCAAUGCUAUGUGUACUUUAAUUUGCUUUCAGAGUUGGUUGUUUUCUGCUCAUAAUUUACCCGUCUUCCAUAAAUUAUCUAUUUCAAUGUUCUGUUACAUAUGCAACAAAAUAAUGUACCUUCACGCGUAUGGAACAAUUUUCUUUCAUUUAAAUUAUGUUUUCCUUGCGUAUUCUUCUUCCUUCAUAAAUUUCCAUUUUUCUUAUGUGUGUAGAAUUUAUUUAUCCUUUUCUUUUAGCAUCUUUAGAUUCCACAGCUCAAUCAGGACAUGCAAAUGGGGGUGAUUGGCAAGAAGAGGUCUAUCAGAAGGUAAAAACUAUCUUGACUUAUUCUCCUAUAGAUAUUAUUACAGUUUCAACUUGGUUUUAAGAAGGUUUUAGGUGUAGGAAAGUGGUUCUGAAAAAGAAUAUUAGAGUAUGUUGGGAUGCAUCUCAUAGCAGGAACCAUAAAACUGAAGAAGUAGGAACUUAAAACAAAUUUGGUAAAAGAAAUUCAGACAUUUUCUGAAUUACUUAUUACUUUGUUAAUAAGAACUUGAAUUCUUUUGGCUUGUUCUUAGAAGAAAGAAAAUAAAGUUUAUUUAAAUCCUUCAGCUCUCUACUAAAGAUCCAUUAAAAUUGGUGAGCAAGAAACCUAAGACCAAGGGUAUCUUGCAUACUUGCCUUCAAAGUAAUCAUCAUUUAUCGACACCUUUGUUUCUUCUGUUAUUGACUAAUAUCAGUGCCUGCUAGUCGGAAAAUGGAAAAAUCUUGUUACUUUUCUAAUAAAUCAUGACACUGGGAUAAAUUGAGUGGUUUAAUUGUUGGUUAAGCAUUCUGUUCCUGAUUUUAUGUUGCAGAUCAAGGCCAUGAAAGAGACAUACUUACCUGAAUUAAAUGAGAUGUACCAGAAAAUUGCUGCCAAGUUGCGGCAGGUAUGUUUAUUCUUUUACAUAAUCAUAUAUAUUCAUUCCCUAACCUCCAAGGAGUGAUAGAACCCAUCUGCCCCGUAGUCUGCCACCCUGUGUCUCUAAAUAGAAUUUAGAGAGGACUUUACUGUUCCACAUUAGAAAGCUGUUGAACCCAUACCACUUUUGGGUUGCUACUCGAAUCCCCUUACCAUAGACACUGUUUAGUGGUUGCACUUAUGCAUAUUUGUUGUAAUAGUUGUUUGUAGUUUUACUGGCAUCAGUUAAAACAAUUUUAUGUGUACCAUUUUCCAGCAUGAUUCUCUUCCACAGCAGCCAAAGUCAGAGCAGCUUGAAAAGUUGAAAAUGUUCAAGAUCAUGUUGGAGCACGUUAUAUCUUUCUUAUCAGUUCCCAAAGCCAGUAUCGCACCCACUUUCAAGGAUAAGUUGAGUUUGUAUGAGAAGCAGAUAGUAAAUAUUUUAAAUACCAAUAGGCCAAGGAAGGCAGUCUCAGCACUGCAGCAAGGACAGCUUCUUCCACCUGAUAUGCAUUCCAUGCCGCAGCCACAACCUCAAAUUAAUCAGACACAGUCUCAUGAUAAUCAAAUGAUCCCUCAGUUGCAGUCAACGAAUUUACAAGGUUUUGUUCCAACAAUGCAGCCGAACAACAUGACAAGUUUGCAGCAUAAUUCUGUGUCUUCCUUACCUGGGGUUGCAACAGCGCAGCAGACCAUGUUAAAUUCGCUGCACCCCAGUUCCAAUUUGGAUGCGGGACAAGGUAAUGCCCUAGGCUCAAUGCAGCAGGCUGCUGCAGGACCUUUACAACAGAAUCCUGUGAGUACCUCCCAACAGGCAAAUAUUAACAGUUUAUCUUCACAAAGUGGGUUAAGUGUCCUGUUGCAAAACACGAAUCCUUUUCAGUCAAAUUCCAACAUGCUUCAGCACCAGCAUAUGAAACAACAGCAGGAACAGCAAAUGCUGCAGUCACAAAUGUACAAACAACAGUUUCAACUGCUUCAGAUGCAGCGGAAGCUGCGGCUACUGCAACAGCUACAGCAACAGCAACAAAAGCAGCUGCAUGAAAUGGAUGAUAUAAAUGACGUGAACAUGAGACAGGGAAUCGGUGUUAAUCCUGGGGUUCUUCAAGCAAAUCUCUCAACUGACCAACUUCCAGGUUAUUCAUAUGAGCAUUCAAAACCUAGUGUCCAAUUUCAUACAUCUUCCACCCCCCGCUCUUUCAGGCUCCAUUUGUCCGCACCUACUUCAAUCCCCCGUUGGAGUCCAUAUCCCUCGCCUGAGAACACUGAGAAAUCUAUCUAUGGCGCUUCCUCUCUGUCAAAUAACAAAAAUAUUAGUCAGCAGCAAGGAAAGAUCUGAAUUCCCUGCACUGACACACUUGGUAAUGGUAAUGGUCAACAUCACCUUUGCUUACUGUGUUCGAAAAUGCUAAUGAUGCUCACAGUAUUGCUUUAACAACUGAUUUUGGCAAGUCGAAGGUUACAGAACUGCCACAUGAUCCCCAGAGUUACCAUGGUUAGUGAAGCUUAAUUAAUUUUCAUUGUUCACAUUAUCUUUUUCAAUUUGCUCCUUUGGCUUGAUAUGUUGUUCAUGUAGUGAAAGAGUGGAAAAAAACCUUGAAAUCCUUCCUUUUUUUUUUUCCUUCUAUUUGACUUUAAUCUUCUAAUAUAGUUUGUUUUAGCUUUUGAAAUGAUGUUGGUUCUAUUACUAUUUUAUAAAGUUUCAGGCAAAACCCAUGUCACUUAAAUCAUUGGAGGCAUCCGUUGUGACCAUGGUUGAUGAGGCAAGCCUCUGCAAGUUGGUGUGGAUGUGGCCGCCACGAGCAAGGGUGGUUUGCGUCGAAGAAGUUUCUUUCCACAAAGUGGAAUGACUGGAGCCGAGAAAAUGAGAUUCUACAUGAGUGCACUGUCUAUGUUAGCUCUAAUGUUUUGGUUCGUUAUAAUAACAUCUGCAUGAGCAGUAGCAAACAAAUUUCCAAAGCUUUUUAUGCUUGGGUAAAAGAGGAAAGGCCCAUUGGUUAUAGCAUGGAUUUCUCUUGUAAGGAGUCAAGAUGAUACUAUUACGACAAAUUGUUGGCAGGUGUUUGCUUAUUUAAAGGUUUUUGAACUUGUUUACAUUCCUAUGAAAUAUAUUAGGAGAUGCAUGCAUCAAAGUUCAUGCCGUUUAAGCCUCAGUGCAUGCCGUUUCUGACCAAUCUAGCCAUGUAAUAACACUAGUUAUCUUACUAAACACAUAAUUUGACCCUAGCUUUUUUUAUCGAGUGACAAGGGUGUUUAGGGUUUUAUGUUUGGGUCGAUCUAAGGUUAUCCAAUACCUUUAGGUGAAGAGCCAUCUAGAUUAGAAAUACCUAGAUGUAAUAAGAGAUAAUGAUCACUUUUAUUUUUCAAUAGGAAAGAGAGAAAAAGAAGGUGAAGUUGGUAUUGAUUUGACGAAAUGUCACAUUUGUAGUCAAAUUUGCUAAAUAUUCAUUGAUGGAAGUGGACCCUUGCAUGUGCUGCCUACACAAAUGGUCCCUUUUUAUUGUUUAAGAUUCUUAAUCACUAAAGGAUUUUUCUUUUCUUUUCUUUUUUUUUUUUAAUAAUAUCAUUAUGACUAUGCUUAGAUUUUGUGGAAAUUUAAUUUUUUAGAUAAUUUUAAGAAUAUAUUUUUUCAUAUAAAUCUCAUGUAUAUACUUUUUUUUAUUUCAAAAUGUCAUUUAUUAAUUUUUAACAAAAUUUAAGAAAAAUUUUAGAUUUUAGUGUGUUUAAUUUUAAAAUUUAAAAUUUUUUUAUAAAUUAAAGUUUUAUGACUUUUAAUGUCAAAAAGUUAAAAAAAUCAUAAAAUUUAAUUUUAAAAUAUAAAAAUAAAAAUUUUAAAUGUUAAAAAAAUCCAACAUAAUUUGAGACAUUUCAAAAAGGAAAGAUUGAAAAAAAAUAGGACAAAAGGAAUAUGAUUUUAUUUUUAUAUAUUUUUCAUAAAAAUAGAAUCCUAAUUAAUACGAAUAAAAAUGUAAAAAAAAAAAAAAAAAACAACCAUAGAAAUCCGAACUUGGAAGGAAAAAAAAAAAAGAUUAAGUGGGCAACUUCAACAUGCAAGGUUCGCACUAGUAAAUUCCACAUGUUACCAUGUAAUUGUAACCUAACCAUUUUCACUAAAAGUACUACAAUAUUUUGAUUUUAAGUGAUUACUUUUGAUUAAAUGUGUAAAUAAUACAUUAAUAUUUUUAAGUUAUUCGAGUUCGAUUCGAAUAAAAUUUGAAUUCGGUUCAAUUAUUAUGUAGUCGAGUUCGAGCUCGAUUAGUUCGAUUCAUCGAUCGAAUCGAGUUCGAGUAUUUUUAUACUUAGCUCGAGUAACUCGCGAGUUUAAUCGAAUUUUUAUAUUUAAAUUUUAUUUAUUAUUUUAAUUAAUAAAAUAUCUCGAAUUCGAGUUCGAACUCGAGCAUAAAUAAUUGAGCUCUUAUCGAGUAUAAGAAUCAAGCUUAUUUUUAUAUAUUUUCGAGCUUAAUCGAACGAGUUCGAGUAAUUUAAAUUCGAUCACAAAUCGAAUUCAAGAUAAAAAAAUGAAUCUUGAUCGAAUUCGAACUGAAUAUCGAGUCACGAGUUGAAAAUCAAGCUAUAAUUUAAAUUUUUUAUUGUAUCGAUUUGACUCUUACUUUUAACAAUGAAUUUACGUGAUUGAACGAGGAUAAAUUUUACUUUUAGAUCUUUUGCUUCUUGUAAGCUUGGGACUUGUUUUCUCAUUUGAGUGCUACAGUAUAUGAAUUGAUGGUUCUCUUUUCUUCUUACUAACUGAAUUAUACCCAUUCAUUAAAUAACUUAUAGCUGUAACGGACACUAGUGGUCUUGCUUUUCUAUAUCAUUUUAUGAACGAUGGUAAUUUUGGUAUGUGGUCUAUUUGAAUGUAGCUGAUAUAUGAAGGUCAUGAUGGCCACUUUGUUUAUUUGGGAGAACUUUGUUAAAUUCCAAUGCCAUGGCUUCUAGAUAUUUGAAUGAGACAGUCCUGAACAAGUUAAUGAGGAAAAUCUUUUGGUGGUCAGAUUAUAUCCUGGUUAAUUUUCAUUUGAUUUUAUGUUAACUUCACAAUUUGGUCAUGGCAUUGUUUUAUUAACCAUGGAAGAUUCUUAUAUAUAUCCGUUUGGUUUGUCGAUAACUUACACAAUGCCUUGUGUGCAUAGAAUGGACACAUUGAAGAGGCACCUUCCAUUUUCUGGCCAAGAGGGUUUAAAUGAACUCAGGAAAAUCGCAGUAAGGUUCGAGGAAAAGAUUUUUACAGCAGCAAACAGCCAGGUAAUCAUAGAAUAUUGGCAUUCCUUAACCUGCUUGGAUGCAUUGUUGUUUACCUAUAUUUUGUUUGUUUGCGUUGUGUGUGUGUAUCUUUGUGUUUCUUUUUUUUCUUAUUCAUAUGUAUAGACAUGCAUAUGUCACGGAUCGAGACUUAAGCUCCGAACCCGCGCGGCUCUGGAACCUGGGCAUUCACCCUUUCGGCAUCCCAGAUCAGCCUUCCUGCCACGGUUCACACCCUUGUGAGGUAUUGUCCGCUCUGACCCCCUGACCUCACGGUUUUGUCCUACAAAAGGCGCUUCACAAGGCGGAGAUGGUGUGAACCCUUUUAUACUCCAGGGACCUUUCUAUUAUGUUCGAUGUGGGAUUCAGGACUCCCUCUUAGGUCCGUGACAUUUUCUCGUACCCAACCUCGUGACGCCCUCGUCACGGAGGCCGGCCACCCUGCCUACCUCCCUCGAGGUGCUUGGCGUGGAUCGAAAGGUUUAGGGCUGGCUCUGAUACCACUUGUCACAGGUCGAGACUUAAGCUCCGAACCCGUGCGGCUCCGGGACCCGGGCAUUCACCCUUCUGGCGUCCCAGAUCAGCCUUCCUGCCACGGUUCACACCCUUUUGAGGUAUUGUUUGUCACGGACCUAAGGAAGAGUCCUAAAUCCCACAUCGAACAUAAUAGGAGGGUCUCUGGGGUAUAAAAAAGUUCACACCACCUCUGCCUUGUGAGUCGCCUUUUGUAGGACAAAACCGUGAGGCCAAGGAGGCCAGAGCGGACAAUACCUCACAAGGGUGUGAACCGUGGCGGUCAGGCUGAUUCGGGAUGUCGGAAGGGUGAAUGCCCGAGUCUCGGAGCCGCGCGGGUUCGGAGCUUAAGUCUCGACCCGUGACAAGUGAUAUCAGAGCCAGCCCUAAACCGUUUGAUCCACGCCGAGCACCUCGAGGGAGGUAGGCAGGGUGGCCGACUUCCGUGAUGAGGGCGUCACGAGGUUGGGUGCGAGAGAAUGUCAUGGACCUAAGGAAGAGUCCUGAAUCUCACAUCGAACAUAAUAGGAGGGUCCCUGGGGUAUAAAAGGGUUCACACCACCUCCGCCUUGUGAGGCACCUUUUGUAGGACAAAACUGUGAGGUCAGGGGGGCCAGAGCGAACAAUACCUCAUAAGGGUGUGAACCGUGGCAGAUAGGCUGAUCCGAGACGCCGGAAGGGUGAAUGCCCAGGUCCCGGAGCCGCGCGGGUUCGGAGCUUAAGUCUCGACCCGUGACACCAACUGUCACGGGCUCCGACCUUAGACUCAGAAUCCGUGCGGCCUUAGGCUUGGAAUCUCCUCCUUUAUGCCUAAAUCAGCCUAAAACACAAGCGUGCGGGCACUAAAACAAUGGGAAUGGCUGAUUACGCAAGUUAAAGAAAAACAGGACAAAAAGACAGAAUUCUGGAAAUGCUCUUGUAUUCAUUGGUGUGAACCCUUUUAUACCCUAGUGACCUUCCUAUUAUGUUCGAUGUAAGAUUCAGGACUCUCUCUUAGGUCCGUGACAUUCUCCCGCACCCAACCUCGUGACGCCCUCGUCACGGAGGCUGGCCACCCUGCCUACCUCCCUCGAGGUGCUUGGCGUGGAUCGAACGGUUUAGGUCCGUGACAUUCUCCCGCACCCAACCUCGUGACGCCCUCGUCACGAAGGCUGGCCACCCUGUCUACCUCCCUCGAGGUGCUUGGCGUGGAUCGAACGGUUUAGGGCUGGUUCUGAUACCACUUGUCACGGGUCGAGACUCAAGCUCCGGGACCCAGGCAUUCACCCUUCCGGCGUCCCGGAUCAACCUUCCGUCACGGUUCACACCCUUGUGAGGUGUUGUCGGCUCCGGCCCCCCUGACCUCACGGUUUUGUCCUACAAAAGGCGCCUCACAAUGCGAAGAUGGUGUGAACCCUUUUAUACCCCAGUGACCUUCCUAUUAUGUUCGAUGUGGGAUUCAAGACUCCCUCUUAGGUCCGUGACACAUACACCUAGACUCCUUGUCAAUUACAUUAGAAGUAAAUAAGAAAGAAAUCCAGGGAGGAAAGAGAGCAGAGGUAGGAAAAAACAAAGAUGCUAAAUGCUAACUCAUUAUUAAGCAUGGUUAAUAUAACAUAUUUGAUAAUCUUGUCUUGUAUUUGAAUAAUGAAGUAAAGGCUGUUUACUCUAAUGCCGAAUGGAUUGCUAUAUUCAGUCGGAUUAUCUGAGGAGAAUAUCCUUGAAGAUGCUUACUAUGGAGAACAAGUCUCAGAAUACUAUGCCCAACUCUGGGAAUAACAGCAAGCCCCCUGAUCCAGGUAAUAGCAGGAAACAGCAUUUUGCUUUGAUGUAUUCUACAAGUAGGACAUUUUCCGUUUACAUGUCCUUUCUGUUCUUUAACAUGCAGAGUUGUUUAACUUGCAACAUUUAUGCACAUAUUAUUUCUGCAGCUAUUUGAAUGAAAAUUACCUAUAUUUUAACUCUUUUGUCCCCUUAACAAAGCGUGGUUGUUUUGGUGGGUUGGAGUUGUUUAAGGAUUGUUUUGAUGAGCACCCAAACAGAAAGGCCUAUUUGUUGUUCCCAUGAUUGUAGUCUUUCUGCGUGGGAUGCACCUCUUCAUGUGCUAGGCCUAGGAAUAAUUUUAUUAUUUUUUCAUGAUCCUCAUGGUAUGAUUCAAUUGCCCUCACAUGUUUUAAGUCUAGUUAUCUUUUUGAAUGAAUUACUGCUUCAGUAUUUUUGUUGUUUAUCUUGUUCUAAAUGUUCUUCAAUUCAGUUCUUGUGGGUUCUUCCCAACUUUUCUUUCUGAAUAUAAAAAUCUUGGGUAGGUUCUCAGGGCAUGCAAAACCAAGUUUACAGUCAAGGGCUAUCAAUUCCUAUCCAAUACAAAGUAAUCAGUCUCAAGCACGUCAACAACUGUUACCCCAGUGUGUUCCAAAUAACAUGUCAUCUGCUGGAGUUCAAAGUUCUACUGGUUUACAAUCUGGGAUGGCUUCUGUCUCUGAACCAACCCAGAAUUCUAUACCUAAUGUUGUUGGCCAGAAUUCCAACAUGCAAAACUUGUCUGAAAUUUCACAGAACUCACUGGGGCAAGGGAAAUCUUCCAAUAUUUUUACUAUUCAGUAGAGGCACAUGCAAGGAAGGCAAUGGGUGCUACGGCAACAGCAGCAGCAACAACCAUACCAUCAGCAGUUACAACAGCAACUUAUGAAGCAAAAGAUUCAACAAGGAAAUCUCCAGCCUUCACUUAUGCAGUUUCACAUGCCGCAACAGCAACAGCAAAACCUGUUACCACCUACUCAGUUGCGAUCUUGCCUGCAAUCUGGUAUGCAAACAUCAUCCGUUAUGCAGCCAUCUGCCAUGCAAUCAACUCCUCUUACUGGUUUUCAAAAGAAUCAGCAAUCUUCUCUACAAGAGUCAAUACAGUCCAUGCUUCAGCAGCAUCAACAGCCACAAGCGGCCACCAGUGUUGGUAUUCUUCAACAACAAACAGCAAUGACACUGCAGUCAAUGAUGCCUCAGCAGCAGCAACAACCUCCACAGCCACAGCAACGGCUGCAGCAGCCAAACAUAAUGGGACAACAGACAAAUGCUGCACAUAUAAAGCAGAAUCAGUUAAUUGGACAACAAAAUAGCAUUGCGGACAUGCAGCAGCAGAGAUUGCUAGGCCAGCCUAAUAAUCCUCCAAACCUGCAGCAGCAGCAUCAGUUAAUGGCUCAAGAAAACCUCUCAAAUAUCCAUCAGCAACUGUUGGGUCCUCAAAGUAAUAUUUCAGGAUUACGGCAACAGCAGCAGCAGCAAUUGAUUGGAACCCAAUUGGGUAACUCAAGCAUGCAAACUAAUGAGCACAUGCUACCCCAGCCUAAGGUUUCACUCCAACAAAGGCAGCAGAGUGCACCUAAUUUGUUACCAACUCAAGGACAGACAUCCCAGCAGCCACAGCAGCAGCAGCAGCACUGAUGUCACAGAUGCAAUUAAAGUCUACUCAGCUGCAGCAACAAUUGGGUUUGCAAUAGCAGCCCAAUCAAUUACACCAAAAUAUGCAGCCAAGGUUUCAUGCAUCAGGUCAACUAUCAUGUUCCCUGCUUCAAUCACAAAAUUUGAUAGAUCAGCAAAAGCAAUUGUAUCAAUCGCGCAGAGCUAUUCCAGAGACAUCAUCAAGUAUGUUUUUGAAUGCUUGCAGUUGCUUACUUUGUUCUUUCUUUGUUUCUUUCUGAUCUUGUGUUAUUUAACGAAUCUAUGCAAUUUUUCCUCUGAUACUAGCACAUUUUAUCCUUGAAGCCGGAAAAAAAUCUAUUUUCCCAUAUAGCUACUAUAGUUGAUGCUAUUGUUUUUCAUUGCAUUUCUAUUACAGAAAAUAAUUUCCAUUCCAACUUGGGGGGAUUAAGAGAAUAUCUUUUUGAACUUGCACUACGUUGUCCUAUCAAAGCACAUUUUGCCUAGAUGAUUAGUUCUUAGCUAACAAAGACAAAUGCUACCAAAAUUAAUGGCACCCUUGCCUUCAUAAGCUGAUCAUGGGCACUGCCUGGCUUUUUAUGCCACCAGAAACAUUGUUGUUACUGUGGAAAACUCAGAAAUAAAAUUGUGGAAAUCUAAGAGUAAAAACUGAAUGUAUAUUGAAAAACUGCUCAUUAAGAAUUAUACAAGAACCUUAGUUUAUAUACAACUAACUAGGGGUUAAACUAGGAAACUAAAUCUUUCUAAAAAUUGAUCAUAUGAUUGAGGGAUUGUCUAUUAUUGUCUUUAAUUCUAGGGAUACAAAUACUUAAUUCUAGAGAUACAAAAAUAAAUAUACAGAUUACAAAAUUACAACCAGCUGUAAAUAAGUGUUUUCUCACACCCCCCCUCAAGCUAGUGAAUGGGUGUUUUCCAUUCCCAACUUGGAAAUAAUUUCUUGAAAUAUUGCACUGCUGAGACAUUUAGUCAACACUUCUGUAAGUUGAUCCUUGGUUGAUACAUAAGGUGUACAAAUCAACCCACUGUCUAGUUUCUCUUUUAUGAAAUGCCGGUUUACUUCAAUGUUUUUUGAUCUGUCAUUGGUCCAUCCCACUUGAUAUUCAAGUCUUCUAGAAUAAUUUUUAACCAUAGUAGUUCACAAAUUCCUUGAGCCAUUGUUCUGAACUCUGCUUCAGCACUUGAUCUUGCAACCACAUUUUGUUUUAUACUCCUCCAAGUCACGAGAUUACCACUUAAGAAAGUGCAGUAGCUUGAUGUGGAUCUUCUAUCAGUAGCUGAACUUGUAUAAUCAACAUCUAUAUAUGUUUCUAGAACUAGCCCCGAAUUUCUUUUGAAUAAGAUACCUCUCCCAAGAUUGGCCUUCAAAUAAUGUAAUACACGGUAAACAGCCUGUAGGUGCACUUCUUUAGGACUAUGUAUGAAUUGACUUACCACACUCACAACAUAUGCUAUAUCAGGUCUAGCAUGUGAGAGAUAAAUGAGUCUUCCAAUUAAUCUUUGAUACAUCUCUCUAUCUACAGCAGCAUCUUCAUUAGCUUAUCCAAUUUUAUGAUUAAGAUCUAUAGGGGUAUUUACAGGUUUACAUGCGAGCUUCUCAGUUUUCUUCAGAAGAUCCAUCACAUAUUUCUGUUGUGAGAUGAAAAUAUCAUGCCGUGAGUGAGCUACUUCAAUUCCUAGGAAUUUUUUUAAUCUUCCUAGCUCAUCUAUCUCAAAUUCCCUAGCUAAAUACAAUUUUAGAGAUUUUCUCUCUUUUUUAUCAUCUCCAGUUACAAUUAUAUCAUCAACAUACACUAAUAGAAUUGUGACUCUCCCUGAAUUAGAGUGUUUGAUAAACAAUGUGUGAUCUCCUUGACUCUGUUUAUAUCCUAUUGCUAGCAUCACUUUGACAAAUCUCUUGUACCAGACCCUAAGAGACUGUUUAAGGCCAUAUAAAGCCUUUUUCAGUUUGCAUACUUUGUUUGCUUGUAGAUGACCUCCAAAUCCCGAUGAAACCUUCAUAUAUAUUUCUUCUUCCAAAUCUCCAAGUAGAAAAGCAUUUUUUACAUCAAAUUGUUGAAGCUACCAAUUGUAAUUUGCAGCCAAUGAUAACAAAAUCUUAACUGUAUUCAUCUUGGCAAUUGAAGCAAAGGUUUUCUGAUAAUCCACUCCAUAGGUUUAAGUGUAGCCCUUAGUCACUAAUCUGGCUUUAUACCUUUCAACAUUACCAUUUGCCUUGUAUUUUACAGUGAAAACCUAUUUACGUCCUCCUGACUUUUUUCUUUUAGGCAACUCUACCAGUUCUCAUGUCUUAUUUUUCUCUAAGGUCUCCAUUUUUAUUUUCAUGGAUUACCUCCAUUUUUCACUAAAUAAUGUCUCGGAUAAUGUAGUUGGAACAAAAAUAGUGUUUAGGCUCACUAAAAAAUUUUUGUAGAAUGAUGAGAAUUUUUCAAAUGGCACAAAAUUAGAGAUUUGGUAUAGUGACUGCUUAGUACAUUCUUUGGUUUCUUUCUUAAUGGCAAUAGAAAGAUCAUAAUCACUUGUUAUAGUUUUAAGAGAUUCAUGCUCAUUUUGAAAAAUAGAGUCAAAACUGUAGUUACCUCAUUUCUAGAGUUAAGAACAAGUUCUUAGUCUGGCAUUGGUUCAGGAUCUGAAACUUUUCUUCUUGAGUACAUUUGUAAUCCCUUCAUAGAAUCAAGAACAAUAUUAUCCUUUGUCACAUCUUCUGUGUUUGAAAUGGGUUCAGACUCAAAUUCAGUGUUUGACUUGGGCUCAGCAGAAACAGGUUUCCACUUAAGAAAAUUAAUGGGUGAAAAUGUUGAAGAGAAGGACAAAUUAAACAAAAAGAAGUCUUUAUCAUUAUCUUCCAUGAAUGAAGUCUCUCCCUGAAGAUAAAGUUGAGUAAAAAAUGGUUUACUUUCUUCAAAAGAGACAUCUGCAGAUACAUAUAAUUUUUUGGUAGGAAGAUGAUAACACUUAUACUUUUUCUGAGUCACAAAGAUACACUUAAUUGCUCUUGGAUGCAAUUUUCUUUUAUUAUGACUGUGAACAUGAACAAAUGAUGUACAACCAAAUAUCCUAGGUGUGAGGUUGUUUGGGUAUUGAGGUUGGGAUAGAAUUUUGAAAGUAGUUCCAUAGGAGUUUUAAAUCUUAAAACCUUUGAAGGUAACCUAUUUAUAAUGUGUGUGGCAAUGAGAACAGCUUUCCUUCUAGUAAGAUUUGGAUACAUUUGCUUAAAAAAGGAAGGCUCGGGUUGUGACUAGUAAAUCGUUAUUUUUUCUUUCUGCCACUCCAUUCUGCUCUGGAGUAUUAACACAAUAUGGCCCAUGAAUAAUCCUCUCUUUUUGAAAAUAAGUGGAUAGACUCUAGUUGAAAUAGUCUCUUGUAUUAUCAGACCUAAAUCUCAUGAUUCUCUUCAAAUUGAUUUUGGAUCAUGUUUUGGAAGCUUAAAAAUAUACUAUUCAUAUCUGAUUUGGAUUUAAAUAAAAAACUCAAAAGAUCCUGGUACAAUCAUCUAUGAAUGAAACAAAUCAUUUUGCACUAGAAAUAUUAGAAAUUGUAGAGGAACCCUAAAUGUCUCUAUGAAUCAAGUAAAAAAGAGUAGAACUUCUUUUGUUACUAAUUGAAAAAGACACACGUCUGUGCUUUGCAAGUUCACAAACAUCACAAUGAAAAUCUUUGAUGUUUAAUCCAUUGAACAAAGAAGGAAACAUGUUUUACAAAGUUCCAAAAGAAGGAUGUCUAAGACGAAAAUGAUAAAGCUAGAUUUUGUCUUUAGUGAAAGAUUUUUCAGAAAAAAAUGACAAAGGUAAAUUAUUCUUGAUAUUACUUGUGUUGUUUGAUGUCUCAAGAUGGUAUAGUCUAUCCUUCUCUUUAGCAAGUCCAAUCUUUUUCUCCGAACUCUGGUGCUGAAAUUCACAAUAAGAGGGAUAAAAAAUCACUUUACAGUUCAUAUCUUUGGUAAGUUUUUGUGUAGAUAUCAUAUUAGUAGACAAUCCAAGAAUAUGAAAAAUAUUUUUUAGAACAAAUGAGGGAUUAAUUUGAACAUCUCUUAAUCCUACCACUGUAACAAGUGAACCAUCUGUAACAACAAUUUUCUUAUUACUAGAACACAUGUUGUAUGUACUAAACUUCUGUGAAGAAUGUGUCAUAUAGUCCAUGGCUCAUGAGUCAAUGACUCAAGAACUCGUAAUAGGCUUAACCAAGACAUUUAAUCCAUGAGAACCAAAAAUUUUACCUGAACUAGAGACCUUACUCAAGGAACAUACUACAGUAGGCUUUUCAAGGGUUCAAUAGCUUUUUCAGCUUUUCAAUCUCUUCGCUGUUCAACUCUCAUUGUUUUCGAGACAUCUAUAAUACUUCAGUAAUUUUUUCAAUUGACAUUUUCUCAAAUUGGGUGGUGGUGAUAUCUUUCUUUGAACUGAAAGAAGUCUUAAGAUAUAAUUAGAAAUAACUCUUAGCAAUGAAGGCUGAAGAAGAGAAAAAUAAAAUGGUUAUGAAGGCUUUAACAGGGUUUGGCAAUGAAGGCCUAAGCAGGGUUCGACAAUGAAGGCCUAAAAAUAAAAGUCUACAAUGAAGGUUGAAAAAUUUUGCUUCCCAAGAAGAGCCUAAAGCUCUGAUACUAUGUGAAAAACUUAGAAAUAGAGCUAUGUGAAAAACUAAGAGUAAAAACUGAAUGUAUAUUGAAAAACUGCUCAUUAAGAAUUAUACAAGAACCUUUGUUUAUAUACAACUAACUAGUGGUUAAACUAGGAAACUAAAUCUUCCUAAAAAUUGUUCCUAUGAUUGAGGGAUUGUCUAUCAUUAUCCUUAAUUUUAGGGAUACAAACACUUAAUUCUAGAGAUACAAAAAUAAAUAUACAGAUUACAAGAUUACAACCAACUGUAAAUAAGUGUUUUCCCACAGUUACCACUGUCACUGCUAAGUCUCCACUGUUGUCACUGUGCUAUUAUGUUACUCUUAACACUUACUCUAGUUAUUUUGCAAUGAUUUUGUCAAACCACAAAGCAAUGGCUGGAUUUAAUCUAUUCAUUUUAUCAACAAAUAAUUCAUGCUGUUUUAUUCAACGAGUUUUCGUGUUUGGCUAUAAAACAUUCUUCUGGAAAUAAGUAAACUGUGUUUUGUGUGCAAAGAGAAGUGACCAUUUUGUUGGUUAAGCUCAAAGAGUAGAAACAAAUGCAUAAACUCACUCAUGCCCUUCAUAUUCAUUUGAAUUUUAGAAUAGUCGGAUAUUUCUAGCAGUUUGUUUGAUUAUGUCGGGUUGGUGUGAUUCCUUUGUCCGACUUAAAUAUUGUUGUUCUUUCUUGUAAUCUAGCUUUUAAAAAUGUUCCCACCACUUAAUUUAACAAAAAAUUAUGAUUAGGAGAUUGCAGUCCUGUUUGAGAACAGCUAGUUACUGUUUUUGUAUCAAAAUAGAGGGUAAACAUGCUUGCAAAUGUCAGAGGAGUUUUGUUUGAAUGAAGAAUGCAUAACGAAUGACUAGAUAAGCAAGUGGGUGACAGCAAGCUGGUUCAUGCACGCAUGAUGGUUAAAAGGGUGUCAAAACUCAAAAUUGUCUUAGUAGUGUUUUUGAUUUAGUCUAACGGCUUUUUAUUGAAACAUUAAAAUUUGGCUGUAGAUUUAAUUAAGUUCUGGAUAUGACCUAUAUUCCUUGAGUCUAAUUUGUCCCCUAAAUUUUUUUUAGUACUUUAGUUUGGCUCGCCCAUUAUUUUGCUUGACAAUAUUAUUUUUAAUGAAUAACAACGUCUGUAGCAGAAAAUUAGUUAACUUUUUUUAGGUCUUCCUUCUCAUGAUCACUUAAACUUAUCUAUCGUUUACUCCUGUUCCAACUGAACUUCUUUUUAUAGAUGGCAAAUGUAUAGUUAGCUUGUAACUUGAGAAACUCUAUAAGUAGCCUUGAAAAAUAAGAAUGAUGUUUGAACUUGGAGUUUGUCUCUGUGUCACAAUGGAAAGUCAAAAUUAAAAAAUUUUCUACUUUUGUAAGUGUACAUCUUAGAAUAUCCCAAAAGUAAAAGGCAGUGGAAAUGGGGUGUAGCGAUCAUGUUUUUAAUGAGUAACCUCUAAAAUUUGGAUACGCAUGGUUAGUUGCAGAAACUAGCAAUAAAAUUUUCUCAUAUGUCAAUGUCCAAAAUGUUUAAUGGUUUCUUCAAAUGCCUUUCAGUUGUAAGUCGUGGUGGGUCUGAUGGAAUUUUGGGACAUAGGAAUUGAUUAUUGGUUGCGUUAUGAUCCCUGUCGAUAUCCCCAUCAAUGCUAUGUGUACUUUAAUUUGCUUUCAGAGUUGGUUGUUUUUUGCUCAUAAUUUACCCUUCUUCCAUAAAUUAUCUAUUUCAAUGUUCUGUUACAUAUGCAACAAAAAUAAUGUACCUUCAAGCGAAUGGAACAAUUUUCUUUCAUUUAAAUUAUGUUUUCCUUGCGUAUUCUUCUUCCUUCAUAAAUUUCCAUUUUUCUUAUGUGUGUAGAAUUUAUUUAUCCUUUUCUUUUAGCAUCUUUGGAUUCCACAGCUUAAUCAGGACAUGCAAAUGGGGGUGAUUGGCAAGAAGAGGUCUAUCAAAAGGUAAAAACUAUCUUGACUUAUUCUCCUAUAGAUAUUAUUACAGUUUCAACUUGGUUUUAAGAAGGUUUUAGGUGUAGGAAAGUGGUUCUGAAAAAGAAUAUUAGAGUAUGUUGGGAUGCAUCUCAUAGCAGGAACCAUAAAACUGAAGAAGUAGGAACUUAAAACAAAUUUGGUAAAAGAAAUUCAGACAUUUUCUGAAUUACUUACUACUUUGUUAAUAAGAACUUGAAUUCUUUUGGCUUGUUCUUAGAAGAAAGAAAAUAAAGUUUAUUUAAAUCCUUCAGCUCUCUACUAAAGAUCUAUUAAAAUUGGUGAGCAAGAAGCCUUAGACCAAGGGUAUCUUGCAUACUUGACUUCAAAGUAAUCAUCAUUUAUCGACACCUUUGUUUCUUUUGUUAUUAACUAAUAUCAGCGCCUGCUAGUCAGAAAAUGGAAAAAUCUUAUUAUUUUUCUAAUAAAUCAUGACACUGGGAUAAAUUGAGUGGUUUAAUCGUUGGUUAAGCAUUUUGAUCCUGAUUUUAUGUUGCAGAUCAAGGCCAUGAAAGAGACAUACUUACCUGAAUUAAAUGAGAUGUACCAAAAAAUUGCUGCCAAGUUGCGGCAGGUAUGUUUAUUCUUUUACAUAAUCAUAUAUAUUCAUUCCCUAACCUCCAAGGAGUGAUAGAACCCAUCUGCCCCAUAGUCUGCCACCCUGUGUCUCUAAAUAGAAUUUAGAGAGGACUUUACUGCUCCACAUUAGAAAGCUGUUGAACCCAUACCACUUUUAGGUUGCUACUUGAAUCCCCUUACCAUAGACACUGUUUAGUGGUUGCACUUAUGCAUAUCUGUUGUAAUAGUGGUUUGUAGUUUUACUUGCAUCAGUUGAAACAAUUUUAUGUGUACGAUUUUCCAGCAUGAUUCUCUUCCACAGUAGCCAAAGUCAGAGCAGCUUGAAAAGUUAAAAAUGUUCAAGAUCUUGUUGGAGCACAUUAUAUCUUUCUUAUCAGUUCCCAAAGCCAGUAUCUUACCAACUUUCAAGGAUAAGUUGAGUUUGAAUGAGAAGCAGAUAGUAAAUUUUUUAAAUACCAGUAGGCCAAGGAAGGCAGUCUCAGCACGGCAGCAAGGACAGCUUCCUCAAUGAUAUGCAUUCCAUGCCGCAACCACAACCUCAAAUUAAUCAGACACAGUCUCAUGAUAAUCAAAUGAACCAUCAGUUGCUGUCAACGAAUUUACAAGGUUUUGUUCCAACAAUGCAGCGGAACAACAUGACAAGUUUGCAGUAUAAUUCUGUGUCUUCCUUACCUGGGGUUGCAACAGCGCAGCAGACCAUGUUAAAUUCCCUGCAGCCAAGUUCCAAUUUGGAUGCGGGACAAGGUAAUGGCCUAGGCUCAAUGCAUUCUCAGAAGCCUUGGUAGCAUUCUCAGAAGCCAACUAACAAUUAAUUCUUUAGUGAAUAGCAAUUGGUUGAGUAUUAGCAUUGCUUUCCACUGAUGUGCUGGUCUAGUGGUGAAAGUAGUGGUGUUUUAGUGAGUUACAGUCCUCCUUAGGUGCAUGACCAAUGGCCUAGGACAGAGAGAAAAAUCGGAAUCUUAAGAGCCUUGUGAAGAAGGGUUUCCUAGUAUUAGUAUUAAAUCAACCAAAUUGACAUCCAAUUGUAAAGUUGUGGUUUACAUAGCAAACCAUCAUGUUCAACUUAAGUCAUGGUUGUAGGGUGUCUGUGAGUGUCUAGUAACAUGUCUUGUCAUUUUGUAAGAGUGCGGCAAAUGAUGUAUACUGUCCACUUUAUCUUACAACAUUAACAAAAAUGAAAUCCUGCUCUUAUGUAUAAAUUUGUGGUUGCAAAAACUGUGUUUUACCCCGAGUUUCUUAUCAAGAGAAGGGGGUUGUUUACUGAAAAGAGCUUUGUCAAAUGUUUUGCAUAUUUGAGAAGUGAUUUGUGUCCAAACUUACAAGUUUUUCUUUUUCACUUCCUUUAAUAUAUGACAAAAAAUUUGAUGUGAAUUGUUUGUGACUUUUCUUUUCUCUUUUGAUGUUGUCAGAAUUUGAUGGAUACCAAUAACUGGAGGCCUACUCCUGCCAGUGGAGAGCCCACCAUGGAUACAGGUGAUUGGAGAACCCAGUUGCAGCCUGAUUCACGACAAAGAAUUGUCAACAAGAUGUAAGUGAAUUUUAUGGUAUUAUUAUUUGUUAAAUAUACUUGUUGUAUUUAAGUUACUGAUAUUCUGUGGCAUGUCUUUUACAGUUUCAAUAUUGUUAAUAACCAAACAAUACCAUCAAUAAAACCAUAUAUCCUAUUCUAGAGCGCAUUCUUUGUUUUGUAAAUACAUAGCUCGAAAAUCAAAGCUUGCUCUUACCCAGAGUUUGGGCACAAUAUAUGGAUCACGUAUCUGGAAGCCUGAUGUGGCAAAGCUAUUGGGUCCAAUUCUGUGUGGCGUACUUGGUAUCGACAUUUAAUGAAUUUAUGUGAUUGAAUGAGGAUAAAUUUUACUUUUAGAUCUUUUGCUUCUUGGAAGCUUGGGACUUGUUUUCUCAUUCGAGUGCUACAGUAUAUGAAUUGAUGGUUCUCUUUUCCUCUUACUAACUCAAUUAUACCCAUUCAUUAAAUAACUUAUAGCUGUAACGGACACUAGUGGUCUUGCUUUUCUAUAUCAUUUUAUGAACGAUGGUAAUUUUGGUAUGUGGUCUAUUUGAAUGUAGCUGAUAUCUGAAGGUCAUGAUGGCCACUUUGUUUAUUUGGGAGAACUUUGUUAAAUUCCAAUGCCAUGGCUUCUGGAUAUUUGAAUGAGUCGGUCCUGAACAAGUUAAUGAGGAAAAUCUUUUGGUGGUCAGAUUAUAUCCUGGUUGAUUUUCAUUUGAUUUUAUGUUAACUUCACAAUUUGGUCAUGGCAUUGUUUUAUUAACCAUGGAAGAUUCUUAUAUAUAUCCUAUUGGUUUGUCGAUACCUUACACAAUGCCUUGUGUGCAUAGAAUGGACACAUUGAAGAGGCACCUCCAUUUUCUGGGCCAAGAGGGUUUAAAUGACUCAGGAAAAAUCGCAGUAAAGGUUUUUCGAAGGAAAAGAUUUUUUACAGCAGCAAACAGCCAGGUAAUCAUAGAAUAUUGGCAUUCUUAACCUGCUUGGAUUGCCAUUGUUGUUUACCUAUAUUUUGUUUGUUUCGCGUUGUGUGUAUGUAUCUUUGUGUUUCUUUUUUUUCUUAUUUAAUAUGUAUACGAAUGCAUACACCUAGACUCCUUGUCAUUACAUUGGAAGUAAAAUAAGAAAAGAAAUCCAGGGAGUGAAAGGAGAGCAGAGGUAGGAAAAACAAAGAUGCCUAAAUGGAUAUUAAGCAUGGUUAAUAUAACAUAUUUGGACAAUCUUGUCUUGUAUUUGAAUAAUGAAGUAAAGCUUGUUUACUCUAAUGCUGUAGAUGGAUUUCUAUAUUCAGUCUGAUUAUCUAAGGAGAAUAUCCUUGAAGAUGCUUACUAUGGAGAAACAGUCUGAGAAUACCAUACCCAACACUGGGAAUAACAGCAAGGCCCCUGAUCCAGGUAAUUGCAGGAAACAGCAUUUUGCUUUGAUGUAAUCUAGAAGGAGGACAUUUUCCAUUUACAUGUCCUUUCUGUUCUUUAACAUGAAGAGUUGUUUAACUUGCAACAUUUAUGCACAUAUUCUUUCUGCAGCUAUUUGAAUGAAAAUUACCUAUAUUUUAACUCUUUUGUCCCCUUAACAAAGCGUGGUUGUUUUGGUGGGUUGGAGUUGUUUAAGGGAUAGAUUUGAUAAGCACCCAAAUAGAAAGCCCCAUUUGCUGUUCCCAUGAUUGAAGUCCUUCAGCAUGGGAUGCACCUCUUCAUGUGCUAGGCCUAGGAAUAAUUUUAUUAUUUUUUUCAUGAUCCUCAUGGUAUGGUUCAAUUGCCCUCACAGGUUUUAAGUCUAGUCAUCUUUUUGAAUGAAUUAAUUACUGCUUCAGUAUUUUUGUUGUUUAUCUUGUUCUAAAUGUUCUUCAAUUCAGUUCUUGUGGGUUCUUCCCAACUUUUCUUUCUGAAUAUAAGAAUCUUGGGUAGGUUCUGAGGGCAUGCAAAACCAAGUUCACAGUCAAGGGCAAUCAAUUCCUAUCCCAUUACAAAGUAAUCAGUCUCAAGCACAUCAACAACUGUUACCCCAGAGUGUUCCAAAUAACAUGUCAUCUGCUGGAGUUCAAAGUUCUACUGGUUUACAAUCUGGGAUGCCUUCUGUGUCUGGUCCAACCCAGAAUUCUAUACCUAAUGUUGUUGGCCAGAAUUCCAACAUGCAAAACUUGUCUGAAAUUUCACAGAACUCACUGGGGCAAGGGAUAUCUUCCAAUAUUUGUACUAAUCAUCAGAGGCAAAUGCAAGGAAGGCAACAGGUGCUACCGCAACAGCAGCAGCACCUUUGCUUGCAGGGUUCGAAAUUACCUGCACCUGACACACCUGGUAAUGGUAUGUCAACAUCACCUUUGCUUGCAGGGUUCGAAAAUGCUAAUGAUACUCACAGUAAUGCUUUAACAACUGAUUUUGGCGAGUCGAAGGAUACAGAAGAGCCACAUGUUCCCAGAGUUACCAUGGUUAGUGGAGCUUAAUUAAUUUUCAUUCUUCGCAUGCUCUUUUUUCAAUUUUCCCCUUUGACUUGAUAUGUUGUUCAUGUGGUGAAAGAGUGGUAAAAAAGCUUGAAAUCCUUCUCUUUUGUUUUUUUUCCUUUUGAUUUUAUCUUCUAGUAUAGUUUGUUUUAGCUUUUGAAAUGAUUUUGGUCUAUUACUAUUUGGUAUGUUUCAGGCAAAACCCAUGUCACUUAAAUCAUUGGAGGCAUCUGUUGUCGUCAUGGUUGAGGAGGCAGCCACUGCCGUUGGUGUGGAUAUGGCCGUCUUGAGCAAGGGUGGUCUGCAUCGAAGAAAUUUCCUUCCACAAACUGGAAUGACUGGAGCCGAGAAAAUGAGAUUCUACAUGAGUGCACUGGCUAUAUUAGCUCUAAUGUUUUGGUUCAUUAUAAUAGCAUCUGCAUGAGCAGUAGCAAACAAAUUUCCAAAGCUUUUAAUAUUUGGUUAAAGGAGGAAAGACGCAUUGGUUAUGGCAUGGAUUUCUCUCCUAAUAAGUCAUGACUAUUGACUGAUGAUACUAUUACGACAAAUUGUUGACAGGUGUUUGCUUAUUUAAAGGUUUUUGAACUUGUUUACAUUCCUAUCAAAUAUAUUAGGAGAUGCAUGCAUCAAAGUUCAUGCCGUUUAAGCCUCAGUGCAUGCAGUUUCUGACCAAUCUAGCCAUGUAAUAACACUAAUUAUCUAACUAAACACAUAAUUUGACCCUAGCUUUUUUUAUCAAGUGACAAGGGUGUUUAGGGUUUUAUGUUUGGGUCGAUCUAAGGUUAUUCAAUGCCUUUAGGUGAAGAGCCAUCUAGAUUAGAAAUACCUAGAUGUAAUAAGGGAUAAUGAUCACUUUUAUUUUUCAAGAGGAAAGAGAGAAAAAGAAGGUAAAGUUGGUAUUGAUUUGACGAAAUGUCACAUUUGUAGUCAAAUUUGCUAAAUAUUUAUUGAUGGAAGUGGACCCUUGCAUGUAAUGCACUGCCUGCAGAAAUUGGUCCCCUUUUAUUGCUUAAGAUUCUUACUCACUAAGGGAUCUUUCUUUUCUUUUCUUUUUUUUUUUAAUAAUAUCAUUAUGACUAUUCUUAGAUUUUGCGGAAAUUUAAUUUUUUAGAUAAUUUUAAGAAUAUAUUUUUUCAUAUAAAUCUCAUGUAUAUACUUUUUUUUUUGUUCAAAAUAUGUCAUUUAUUAAUUUUAACAAAUUUUAAGAAAAAAAUUUAGAUUUUAGUGUGUUUAAUUUUAAAAUUUAAAAAUUUUUUUAAAUUAAAGUUUUAAGACUUUUAAUGUCAAAAAGUUAAAAAAAUCUAAAAUUUAAUUUUAAAAUAUAAAAAAUAAAUUUUUUAAAUGUUAAAAAAAUCCAACAUUAUUUGAGACAUUUCAAAAAGGAAAGAUUGAAAAAAAAAAGGACAAAAAGAAUAUGAUUUUAUUUUUAUAUAUUUUUCAUAAAAAAUGAAUCCUAAUUAAUACGAAUAAAAAUGUAAAAAAAAAAAAGAAAAAGACAACCACAGAAAUCCAAACUUGGAAGGAAAAAAAAAAAAAAAGAUUAAGUGGGCAACUUCAACAAGCAAGGUUCGCAUUAAUAAAUUCCAAAUGUUGCCAUGUAAUUGUAACCUAAUCAUUUUCACUAAAAUUACUACAACAAUUUUGAUUUUAACUGGCGAUUUUUGAUUAAAAAUGUAAAUGAUAAAUUAAUAUUCAUAAGGUAUUUGGGUUCGAUUUGAAUAAAACUCAAAUUCGAUUUGAUUAUUAUUAAAUCAAGUUCGAGUUCGAAUAACUCGAUUCAUCGAUCGAAUCGAGUUUGAAUAUUUUAAUAUUCAGUUCGAGUAAUUUGUUAGUGUAAUCGAAUUUUUAUAUUUAAAAUUUUUUUAUUAUUUUAAUAAAUAAAAUAUCUCAAAUUCGAGUUCGAAUUCAAGCACAAAUAAUCAAGUUUUUAUUGAGCAUAAAAAUUAAACUUAUUUUUAUAUAUUUUUUAGCUUAAUCGAACGAAUUCAAAUAGUUUGAAUUCGAUUACGAAUCGAAUUCAAAAUAAAAAAAAAAAUUCAAUCGAAUUUAAAUUAAAUAUCAAAUAACGAGUUGAGAAUCAAGCUAUAAUUUAAAAUUUUCAUUAUAUCACUUAACUCUUACUUUUGACAAUAAUUUUGUGAAAAAGUGAAAGAGUGGCUUAAGAAAUUUUAGCCCACGAUUUUUACCGUUGUCAAAGGUAAACUUUUUGUAGUAAGGAAGUGAUAAACUCAAUGGCCUUCAAGUUUUUUCUUUUUUUCUUGCUUUCGAAUCUAAGAGCACCAUUUUUUUUUUCGUGCUAAUCGACUUGCUAGAAUUUUUUUUUUUUUAAUUUGAAUUCAAAAAUUUUAAUUUUAAAAUCAAUUUUAAUAUUAUUAAAUUAAUUUAUCAUUAUUCAUUAUUAAGUAAAAUUUUAUAUAUCAAUCUUAAAGAUGAAUUAUAAUUAUUAUACAUCAAAUUCAAUUUUUAUCUAUUUUAAUGUAUAUUGUAUUUUCCUUGAUAACAUAUUGAUUUGUUAAGAAUUGAUUUUCUUUUAUGUAAAAACUUGUUUAUUUGACUAAUUAUGUUUGUAAUAUUUAUUUGUAAAUGUAUUAAGCUAAUUAUGUCUCAUAAAAGAAUUUGGGUCUUGGAAGAAAAUUGAAUAAUUUAGUUAAAUUAUAUAAUAAUCAACUAAUACUUCAUUAUUAUAAAUAAAUGAAUUACAACUAGAUCUAUUAAAUUAUAAAAAAAUUACAAUUAAAUUUGAUAAUUUUAAAUAUGAUAUAUUGAUAUAAUAUAAAAAUUAUAUAAAAAGUAAAAAAAAUAAUAUGAUUUAGGAUUUUAAACAAAAUAAUAUGAAAUUUAAAUAACAAAAAAUAUAUUUUAUUUUUAACGUAUUAAUAUAAAUUUUGCAAUGAUAAUUUUAAACAAAUUAAAUACAAAAUAAACAUGAAAUAAAUAUAAAAAUUAUCUAAUUACAACACUCCUUAUUAAGUUGGUUAGGAAAUUAGGAAAAUUUUCACCAUUGAUUUUGUAUCAAUUUUGUCAAAAAAUAUAAGAAGAAAAAAUCAAAAGAAUUUCACAUUUUCCAAUACAAGUUUUUUAUAAAAACAAUACUAACAUAUUUUAUUUUGAUAAAUAAAUUUCAAACAGACAAAUUAUUUACAAAUAAAAUAACAUUAAAAUUUGAAUCUAAAAUUAUUUUUUAACUGAAGUGUAGGAACCAACUUUAAUUGCUUCAAUUAAUUUUAUUAUAACAAAAAAAUGGUUAAUUCCAAAAUAAAAAUGCAUGAUUGCAAAAAUAAUGUCAACAAAAAAAAAAAUUUGAAAGAGAAAAUUCAAAAGUGUAAGGAAGGAAAACAAUAAAAGUCAAAAUUGAGAAAAAAAAAUCAAAAUUAGGGUUUUUUUUUUUCUUUUUUAAAUCGUCAUUAUUUGUGGACAUGAAAAAAAAAAAUAAAAACAAAAACCCAGACAAUUUGCAAAGAUAUGUCCCUAUAAAAGCCAUUGCCAUGCACUUCAAUCCAACACAUGACCUUCUUUCCCUCCUCACCGUCUUAGCUUCUUUUAUCUCUUUCUUUUCUCUCACUUUCUUUUCAACCACACAAAUAAAUUUCAGUUGGUUGUCCUCCUUUUAUUUUCUUCUAACAAUAUUUAUUUAUACGUUAGAGUUAGAUAUUUUUCCAAUUAUGCCAAAAAGAAACAAAAAAGAAAUUUUAUAAUUUAUUCUCCGUAUAAUCAAAGAUAAUCUGAGGCGUGGGUUUAAUUCAAUCUGGGAUUUGGUAUUUGAAAAAAAAAAUUCUUGAGGAAUUGUCGAAGCGGAUUUCUCUUAGGAGCUCUUCGUUGAGGUAAAAAUUUCAAACUUUUUAUAGGUUUUACGAUUCUGUUGCCUUAAUUUCCUCGAAAAUCUUACCUGGGAAUAUGUUUUUGACUGUAAGAAUAAAAGAUUUCAUUUUUUAUUUAAUAUCACCAGGUAAUUAACUUUGUAUUUUUUUAAUCGUUUUGCUGUAAAAAAAAUUAGAAAGCUUGCUAGAAUAUUUGGAUACUCAAUAAUGAAAGCAACCCCCAAAAGCAGAUUAUUUCUAUUAAACAUAAUUUAAAUCAUGGAUUUUGUUAAUAUUUCUCAUUCUCUUUCUCUUUGUUUUUUCAUUUAAUGAUAUAUGAUAAAGUUCUAGUUAUGGGGGCUGAUUUCAUUGGGAAAAUGUCAAAUAUUUAGCUAGAAAAGUUUCAAGUGCAGUUGUUUUUGGUUAGAAGGCUCAACCUUCUAACCGUGAGCCUUGGUAGCAUUCUCAGAAGCCAACUAACAAUUAAUUCUUUAGUGAAUAGCAAUUGGUUGAGUAUUAGAACUGCUUUCCAGUGAUGUGCUGGUCUAGUGGUGAAAGUAGUGGUGUUUUAGUGAGUUACAGUCCUCCUUAGGCGGAUGACCAAUGGCCUAGGACAGAGAGAAAAAUCGGAAUCUUAAGAGCCUUGUGAAGAAGGGUUACCUAGUAUUAGUAUUAAAUCAACCAAAUUGACAUCCAAUUGUAAAGUUGUGGUUUACAUAGCGAACUAUCAUGUUCAACUUAAGUCAUGGUUGUAGGGUGUCUGUGAGUGUCUAGUAACAUGUCCUGUCAUUUUGUAAGAGUGCGGCAAAUGAUGUAUACUGUCCAAUUUAUCUUAAAACAUUAACAAAAAUGAAAUCCUGCUCUUAUGUAUAAAUUUAUGGUUGCAAAAACUGUGUUUUACCCGGAGUUUCUUAUCAAGAGAAGGGGGGUGUUUAUUGAAAAGAACUUUGUCAAAUGUUUUGCAUAUUUGAGUAGUGAUUUGUGUCCAAACGUACAAGUUUUUCUUUUUCACUUCCUUUAAUUUAUGACAAAAAAUUUGAUCUGAAUUGUUUGUAACUUUUCUUCUCUCUUUUGAUGUUGUCAGAAUUUGAUGGAUACCAAUAACUGGAGGCCUACUCCUGCCAGUGGAGAGCCCACCAUGGAUGCAGGUGAUUGGAGAACCCAGUUGCAGCCUGAUUCACGACAAAGAAUUGUCAACAAGAUGUAAGUGAAUUUUAUGGUAUUAUUAUUUGUUAAAUAUACUUGUUGUAUUUAAGUUACCGAUAUUCUGUGGCUUGUCUUUCACGGUUUCAAUAUUGUUAAUAACCAAACAAUACCAUCAAUAAAACCAUAUUUCCUAUUCCAGAAUGUUUUCUUUGUUUUGUAAAUACAUAGCUCGAAAAUCAAAGCUUGCUCUUACCCAGAGUUUGGGCACAAUGUAUGGGCCACGUAUCUGGAAGCCUAAUGUGGCUAAGCUAUUGGUGGCAUACUUGGUAUCGUCAUUUAAUGAAUUUAUGUGAUUGAAUGAGGAUAAAAUUUGCUUUUAGAUCUUUUGCUUCUUGUAAGCUUGGGACUUGUGUUCUCAUUUGAGUGCUACAGUAUAUGAAUUGAUGGUUCUCUUUUCUUCUUACUAACUGAAUUAUACCCAUUCAUUAUAUAACUUAUAGCUGUAACGGACACUAGUGGUCUUGCUUUUCUAUAUCAUUUUAUGAACGAUGGUUAUUUUGGUAUGUGGUCUAUUUGAAUGUAGCUGAUAUAUGAAGGUCAUGAUGGCCACUUUGUUUAUUGGGGGGAACUUUGUUAAAUUCCAAUGCCAUGGCUUCUGGAUGUUUAAAUGAGACAGUCCUGAACAAGUUGAAGAUGAAAAUCUUUUGGUGGUCAGAUUAUAUCCUGGUUAAUUUUCAUUUGAUUUUAUGUUAACUUCACAGUUUGGUCAUGGCAUUCUUUUAUUAACCAUGGAAGAUUCUUAUAUAUAUCCUAUUGGUGUGUCAAUAACUUACACAAUGCCUUGUGUACAUAGAAUGGACACAUUGAAGAGGCUCCUUCCAUUUUCUGGCCAAGAGGGUUUAUAUGAACUCAGGAAAAUCGCAGUAAGGUUUGAGGAAAAGAUUUUUACAGCAGCAAACAGCCAGGUAAUCAUAGAAUAUUGGCAUUCCUUAACCUUCUUGGAUGCAUUGUUGUUUGCCUAUAUUUUGUUUGUUUGCGUUGUGUGUAUGUAUCUUUGUGUUUCUUUUUUUUUCUUAUUCAUAUGUAUAGACAUGCAUACACCUAGACUUCUUGUCAAUUACAUUGGAAGUAAAUAAGAAAGAAAUCCAGGUAGGAAAGAGAGCAGAGGUAGGAAAAAACAAAAAUGCUUGAUGCUAACUCAUUAUUAAGCAUGGUUAAUAUAACAUAUUCGAUAAUCUUGUCUUGUAUUUGAAUAAUGAAGUAAAGCUUAUUUACUCUAAUGCCGUAAUGGAUUUCUAUAUUCAGUCGGAUUAUCUGAGGAGAAUAUCCUUGAAGAUUCUUACUAUGGAGAACAAGUCUCAGAAUACUAUGCCCAACUCUGGGAAUAACAGCACGCCCCCUGAUCCAGGUAAUAGCAGGAAACAGCAUUUUGCUUUGAUGUAUGCUACAAGUAGGACAUUUUCCGUUUACAUGUCCUUUCUGUUCUUUAACAUGCAGAGUUGUUUAACUUGCAACAUUUAUGCACAUAUUCUUUCUGCAGCUAUUUGAAUGAAAAAUACCUAUAUUUUAACUCUUUUGUCCCUUAACAAAGCGUGGUUGUUUUGGUGGGUUGGAGUUGUUUAAGGGAUUGAUUUGAUGAGCACCCAAACAGAAAGGCCUAUUUGCUGUUCCCGUGAUUGUAGUCUUUCUGCAUGGGAUGCACCUCUUCAUGUGCUAGCCUAGGAAUAAUUUGAUUAUUUUUUCAUGAUCCUCAUGGUAUGAUUCAAUUGCCCUCACAUGUUUUAAGUCUAGUUAUCUUUUUGAAUGAAUUAAUUACUGCUUCAGUAUUUUUGUUGUUUAUCUUGUUCUAAAUGUUCUUCAAUUCAGUUCUUGUGGGUUCUUCCCAACCUUCCUUUCUGAAUAUAAAAAUCUUGGGUAGGUUCUCAGGGCAUGCAAAACCAAGUUCACGGUCAAGGGCAAUCAAUUCCUAUCCCAUUACAAAGUAAUCCGUCUCAAGCACGUCAACAACUGUUACCCCAGAGUGUUCCAAAUAACAUGUCAUCUGCUGGAGUUCAAAGUUCUACUGGUUUACAAUCUGGGAUGCCUUCUGUGUCUGGUCCAACCCAGAAUGCCAUACCUAAUGUUGUUGGCCAGAAUUUCAACAUUCAAAACUUGUCUGAAAUUUCACAGAACUCACUGGGGCAAGGGAUAUCUUCCAAUAUUUUUACUAAUCAGCAGAGGCAAAUGCAAGGAAGGCAACGGGUGCUACUGCAACAGCAGCAGCAGCAACUAUACCAUCAGCAGUUACAACAGCAACUUAUGAAGCAAAAGAUUCAACAAGGAAAUCUCCAGCCUUCACUUAUGCAGUUUCACAUGCCGCAACAGCAACAGCAAAACCUGUUACCACCUACUCAGUUGCAAUCUUCCCUGCAAUCUGGUAUGCAAACAUCAGCCGUUAUGCAGCCAUCUGCCAUGCAAUCAACUCCUCUUACUGGUCUUCAGAAGAAUCAACAAUCUUCUCUGCAAGAGUCAAUACAGUCCAUGCUUCAGCAGCAUGAACAGCCACAAUCGGCCACCAGUGUUGGUAUUCUUCAACCACAAACAGCAAUGACACGGCAGUCAAUGAUGCCUCAGCAGCAGCAACAGCCUCCACAGCCACAGCAACAGCUGCAGCAGCCAAACAUAAUGGGACAACAGACAAAUGCUGCAAAUAUACAGCAGAAUCAGUUAAUUGGACAACAAAAUAGCAUUGUGGACAUGCAGCAGCAGAGAUUGCUAGGCCAGCCUAAUAAUAUUCCAAACCUGCAGCAGCAGCAGCAGCAUCAGUUAAUGGCUGAACAAAACCUCUCAAAUAUCCAUCAGCAACAGUUGGGUCCUCAAAGUAAUAUUUCAGGAUUACGGCAACAGCAGCAACAGCAAUUGAUUGGAACCCAGUCGGGUAACUCAAGCAUGCAAACUAAUGAGCACAUGCUACCCCAGCCUAAGGUUUCACUUCAACAAACGCAGCAGAGUGCACCUAAUUUGUUACCAACUCAGGGACAGACAUCCCAGCAGCCCCAGCAGCAGCAGCAGCAACAGCAACAGCAACUGAUGUCACAGAUGCAAUUACAGUCUACUCCGCUGCAGCGACAAUUGGGUUUGCAACAGCAGCCCUAUCAGUUGCACCAAAAUAUGCAGCCAAGGCUUCACGCAUCAGGUCAUGUAUCAAGUUCCUGGCUUCAAUCACAAAAUUUGAUAGAUCAGCAAAAGCAAUUGUAUCAAUCACGCAGAGCUGUUCGAGAGACAUCAUCAAGUAUGUUUUUGAAUGUUUGCAGUUGCUUACUUUGUUCUUUCUUUGUUUCUUUCUGAUCUUGUGUUAUUUAACUAAUCUAUGCAAUUUUUUCCUCUGAUACUAGCACAUUUUAUCCUUGAAGCCUGAAAAAAAUCUAUUUUCUCAUAUAGCUACUAUAGUUGAUGCUAUUGUUUUUCAUUGCAUUUCUAUUACAGAAAAUAAUUUCCAUUCCAACUUGGGGGGAUUAAGAGAAUAUCUUUUUGAGCUUGCACUACAUUAUCCUAUCAAAGCACAUUUUGCCUAGAUGAUUAGUUCUUAGCUAACAAAGACAAAUGCUACCAAAAUUAAUGGCACCCUUGCCUUCAUAAGCUGAUCAUGGGCACUGCCUGGCUUUUUAUGCCACCAGAAACAUUGUUGUUACUGUGGAAAACUCAGAAAUAAAACUGUGGAAAUCUAAGAGUAAAAACUGAAUGUAUAUUGAAAAACUGCUCAUUAAGAAUUAUACAAGAACCUUAGUUUAUAUAUAACUAACUAGGGGUUAAACUAGGAAACUAAAUCUUUCUAAAACCUGAUCAUAUGAUUGAGGGACUGUCUAUCAUUGUCCUUAAUUCUAGGGAUACAAAUACUUAAUUCUAGAGAUACAAAAAUAAAUAUACAGAUUACAAGAGUACAACCAGCUGUAAAUAAGUGUUUUCCCACACUCCCCCUCAAGCUAGUGAAUAGGUGUUUUCCAUUCCCAGCUUGGAAAUAAUUUCUUGAAAUAUUGCACUGCUGAGACCUUUAGUCAACACAUCUGCAUGUUGACUCUUAGUUGAUACAUAAGGUGUACAAAUUAACCCACUGUUUAGUUUCUCCUUUAUGAAAUGCCGGUCUACUUCAAUGUUUUUUGUUCUGUCAUGUUGCACAGGAUUGUGUGCAAUGCUUAUUGCAGACUUGUUAUCACAGUAGAGUCUCAUUGGUCCAUCCCACUUGAUCUUCAAGUCUUCUAGGAUAAUCUUUAAACCAUAGUAGUUCACAAAUUCCUUGAGCCAUUGCUCUGAACUUUGCUUCAGCACUUGAUCUUGCAAUCACAUUUUGUUUUUUACUCUUCCAAGUCACGAAAUUACCACCUAAGAAAGUGCAGUAGCCUGAGGUGGAUCUUCUAUCAUUUGCUGAACUUGCAUAAUCAGCAUCUAUAUAUGUCUAUAGAACUAGCCCCGAAUUUCCUUUGAAUAAGAUACCUCUCCCAAGAUUGGCCUUCAAAUAAUGCAAUACACAGUAGACAGCCUGUAGGUGCACUUCUUUAGGACUAUGUAUAAAUUGACUUAUCACACUUACAGCAUAUGCUAUAUCAGGUCAAGUAUGUGAGAGAUAAAUGAGUCUUUCAACUAAUUUUUGGUACAUCUCUCUAUCUACAGUAGCAUCUUCAUUAGCUUCUCCAAUUUUAUGAUUAGGAUCUAUAGGGGUAUUUGCAGGUUUACAUGUGAGCUUCCCAGUUUCCUUCAGAAGAUCCAUCACAUAUUUCUGUUGUGAGAUAAAAAUACCAUGCCGUGAGUAAGCUAUUUUAAUUCCUAGGAAGUACUUCAAUCUUCCUAGCUCUUCUAUCUCAAAUUCUCUAGCUAAACACAGUUUUAGAGAUUUUCUCUCUUUUUCAUCAUCUCCAGUUACAAUUAUAUCAUCAACAUACACUAAUAGAAUUGUGACUCUCCCUGAAUUAAAGUGCUUGAUAAAUGAUGUGUGAUCUCCUUGACUCUGUUUAUAUCCCAUUGAUAGCAUCACAUUGGCAAAUCUCCCGUACCAGGUCCUAGGAGACUGUUCAAGGCCAUGUAAAGCCUUUUUCAGCUUGCAUACUUUGUUUGCUUGUAGACGAUCUCCAAAUCCCGGUGGAACCUUCAUAUAUAUUUCUUCUUCCAAAUCACCAAGUAGAAAAGCAUUUUUUACAUCAAAUUGUUGAAGUUGCCAAUUGUAAUUUGCAGCCAAUGAUAACAAAACCUUAAUUGUAUUCAUCUUGGCAACUGGAGCAAAGGUUUCCAGAUAAUUCACUCCAUAGGUUUAAGUGUAGCCCCUAGCCACUAAUUUGGCUUUAUACCUUUCAACAUUACCAUCCGCCUUGUAUUUUACAGUGAAAACCCAUUUACGCCCUACUGAAUUUUUUCCUUUAGGCAACUUUACCAGUUCCCAUGUCUUAUUUUUCUCUAAGGCCUCCAUUUUUAUUUUCAUGGAUUGCUUCCAUUUUUUACUGGAUAAUGCCUCGGAUAAUGUAGUUGGAGCAGAAAUAGUGUUUAGGCUCACAAGAAAAUUUUUAUGGGAUAAUGAGAAUUUUUCAAUGACACAAAAUUAGAGAUUUGGUAUAGUGGUUGCUUAGUACAUUCUUUGGUUUCUUUCCUAAUGGCAAUAGGCAGAUCAUAAUCACUAGUUAUAGUUUUAGGAGAUUCAUGCUCAUUUUGAGAAAUAAAGUCAAAAAUUGUAGUUACCUCAUUUCUAGAGUUAGGAACAAGUUCUUGGACUGGCAUUGGUUCAGGACUUGGAACUUUCCUUCUUGAGUACACUUGUAAUUCCUUCAUAGAAUCAAGAACAAUAUUAUCUUUUGUCACAUCUUCUAUCUUUGGAAUGGGUUCAGACUCAAAUUCAGUGUUUGACUUAGGCUCAGCAGAAAUAGGUUUUCACUCAGAAGAAUUAAUGGGUGAAAAUGUUGAAGAGGAGGACAAAUUAAGCAAAAAGAAGUCUUUAUCAUUAUCUUCCAUGAAUGAAGUCUCUCCCUGAAGAUAAGGUUGAGUAAAAAAUGGUUUAUUUUCUUCAAAAGUGACAUUUGCAGACACAUAAUUUUUUGGUAGGAAGAUGAUAGCACUUAUACCCUUUCUGAGUCACAAAGAUACACUUAAUUGCUCUUGGAUCUAAUUUUCUCUUAUUAUGACUGUGAACAUGAACAAAUGAUGUACAACCAAAUAUCCUAGGUGUGAGGUUGUUUGUGGUAUUGAGGUUGGGAUAGAAUUGUGAAAGUAGUUUCAUAGGAGUUUUAAAUCCCAAAACCCUUAAAGGUAACCUAUUUGUAAUGUGUGUGGCAGUGAGAACAGCUUCCCCCCCAGUAAGAUUUGGGUACAUUUGCUUGAAAAAAGAAGGUUCAGGUUGUGGCUAGUAAAUGGUUGUUUUUCCUCUCUGCCACUCCAUUUUGUUGUGGAGUAUUAAUACAAGAUGACUCGUGAAUAAUCCUCUCUUUUUAAAAAUAGGUGGAUAGACUCUAGUUGAAAUAGUCUCUUGCAUUAUCAGACCUAAAUCUCAUGAUUCUCUCCAAAUUGAUUUUGGAUCAUGUUUUGGAAGCUUAAAAACACAUUAUUCACAUCUUAUUUGGAUUUAAAUAAAAAAACCCAAGAGAGUUUGGUACAAUCAUCUACGAAUGAAACAAACCAUUUUGCACCAGAAAUUGUAGAGGGACCCCAAAUGUCACUAUGAAUCAAGUAAAAGGGAGUAGAACUUCUUUUGUUACUAAUUGAAAAAGACACACGUCUGUGCUUUGCAAGUUCACAAACAUUACAAUGAAAAUCUUUGACAUUUAAUCCUUUGAACAAAGAAGGAAACAUGUUUCACAAAGAUCCAAAAGAAGAAUGUUUAAGACGAAAAUGAUAAAGUUAGAUUUUGUCUUUAGUGGAAGAUUUUUCAGAAUGAAAUAACAAAGGUAAACUAUUCUUGAUAUUACUUGUGUUGUUUGAUGUCUUAAGAUAGUAUAGUCCAUCCUUCUCCUUAGCAAGUCCAAUCCUUUUCUUCGAACUCUAGUCCUGAAAUUCACAAUAAGAGGGAUAAAAAAUCACUUUGUAGUUCAUAUCUUUGGUAAGUUUUUGUGUAGAUAUCAAAUUAGUAGACAAUCCAAGAACAUGAAGAACAUUUUUAAGAACAAACGAGGGAUUAAUUUGAACAUCUCCUAAUCCUGCCACUGUAAUGAGUGAACCAUUUGCAACACCAAUUUUCUUAUUACUAGAACACAGGGUGUAUGUACUAAACCUCUGUGAAGAAUGUGUCAUAUAGUCUGUGGUCCUAAGUCAAUGACCCAAGAACUCGUAAUAGGCUUAACCGAGACAUUUAAUCCAUGAGAACCAGAAGCUUUACCUGAACUAAAGACCUUACUCAAGGAACAUACUACAAUAGGCUUUUCAAGGGUUCAAUAGCUUUCUCAGCUUUUCAAUCUCUUCUUUGUCCAACUCUCCUUGUUUUUGAGACAUCUGUAAUACUUCGAUGAUUUUUUCAGUUGACACUUCCUCAAAUUUGGUGAUAGUGAUAUCUUUCUUUGAACUGAAACAAGUCUUAGGAUAUAAUAAAAAAUGACUGUUAGCAAUGAAGGCUAAAGAAGGAAAAAAUAAAAUGGCUAUGAAGGCCUUAACAGGGUUUGGCAAUGAAGGCCUAAAAAUAGAAGUUAGCAAUGAAGGUUGAAAAAUUUUGCUUCCCAAGAAGAGCCUAAAGCUUUGAUACUAUGUAGAAAACUUAGAAAUAGAACUAUGUGAAAAACUAAGAGUAAAAACUGAAUGUAUAUUGAAAAACUGCUCAUUAAGAAUUAUAUAAGAACCUUAGUUUAUAUACAACUAACUAUGGGUUAAACUAGGAAACUAAAUCUUCCUAAAAACUGAUCCUAUGAUUGUGGGAUUGUCUAUCAUUGUCCUUAAUUCUAGGGAUACAAAUACUUAAUUCUAGAGAUACAAAAAUAAAUAUACAGAUUACAAGAUUACAAUCAGCUGUAAAUAAGUAUUUUCCCACAGUUACCCGUGUCACUGCUAAGACUCCACUGCUGUCACUGUGCUAUUAUGUUACUCUUAACACUCACUCUAGUUAUUUUGCAAUGAUUUUGUCAAACCACAAAGCAAUGGCUGGAUUUAAUCUAUUCAUUUUAUCAACAAAUAAUUCAUGCUGUUUUAUUCAACUUGGCUAUAAAAUAUUCUUCUGGAAAUAAGUAAACUGUGUUUUGUGUGCAAAGAGAAGUGACCAUUUUGUUGGUUAAGCUCAAAGAGCAGAAACAAAAUGCAUAAACUCACUCAUGCCCUUCAUAUUCAUUUGAAUUUUAGAAUAGUCAGAUAACUCUAGCAGUUUGUUUGAUUAUGUCGGGUUGGUGUGAUUCCUUUGUCCGACUUAAAUAUUGUUGUUCUUUCUUGUAAUCUAGCUUUCAAAAAUGUUCCCACCACUUAAUUUAACAAAAAAAUUAUGAUUAGGAGAUUGCAGUCCUGUUUGGGAACAGCUAGUUACUGUUUUUGCAUCAAAAUAGAGGGUAAACAUGCUUGCAAAUGUCAGAGGAGUUUUAUUUGAAUGAAGAAUGCAUAACGAAUGACUAGAUAAGCAAGUGGGUGACAGUGAGCUGGUUCAUGCAUGCAUGAAAUGGUUAAAAGGGUGUCAAAACUCAAAAUUGUCUUAGUGGUGUUUUGAUUUAGUCUAACGGCUUUUAUUGAAACAUUCUGUAGAUUUAAUUAAGUUCUAUAUGAACCCUAUAUUCCUUAAGUCUAAUUUGUGCCCUAAAUUUUUUUAGACCUUUAGUUUGACUCGCCCUUAUUUGCUUGACAUAUUUAUUUUUAACGAAUAACAAGUCUGUAGCAGAAAAUAGUUUAACUUUUUUUAGGUCUUCCUUCUCAUGAUCACUUAAACUUUUCUAUCAUUUACUCCUAUUCCAACUGAACUCCUUUUUUAUAGAUGGCAAAUGUAUAGUUAGCUUUUAACUUGAGAAACUCUAUAAGUAGACUUGAAAAAUAAGAAUGAUGUUUGAACUUGGAGUUUGUCUCUAUGUGUCACAAUGGAAAGUCAAAAUUAAAAAAUUUUCUACUUUUGUAAGCGUGCAUCUUAGAAUAUCCCAAAAGUAAAAGGCAGUGAAAAUGGGGUGUAGGGAGCAUGUUUUUAAUGAGUAACCUCUAAAAUUUGGAUAUGCAUGGUUAGUUGCAGAAACUAGCAAUAAAAUUUUCUCAUAUGUCAAUGUCCAAAAUGUUUAAUGGUUUCUUCAAAUGCCUUUCAGUUGUAACCCGUGGUGGGUCUGAUGGAAUUUUGGGACAUAGGAAUUGAUUAUUGGUUGCAUUAUGAUCCCUGUUGAUAACCCAUCAAUGCUAUGUGUACUUUAAUUUGCUUUCAGAGUUGGUUGUUUUCUGCUCAUAAUAUACCCUUCUUCCAUAAAUUAUCUAUUUCAAUGUUCUGUUACAUAUGCAACAAAAUAAUGUACUUUCACGCGUAUGGAACAAUUUUCUUUCAUUUAAAUUAUGUUUUCCUUGCGUAUUCUUCUUCCUUCAUAAAUUUCCAUUUUUCUUUUGUGUGUAGAAUUUAUUUAUCCUUUUCUUUUAGCAUCUUUAGAUUCCACAGCUCAAUCAGGACAUGCAAAUGGGGGUGAUUGGCAAGAAGAGGUCUAUCAGAAGGUAAAAACUAUCUUGACUUAUUCUCCUAUAGAUAUUAUUACAGUUUCAACUUGUUGGUGAGCAAGAAACCUAAGACCAAGGGUAUCUUGCAUACUUGACUUCAAAGUAAUCAUCAUUUAUCGACAACUUUGUUUCUUCUGUUAUUAACUAAUAUCAAUUCCUGCUAGUCAGAAAAUGGAAAAAUCUUGUUACUUUUCUAAUAAAUCAUGACACUGGGAUAAUUUGAGUGGUUUAAAUGUUGGUUAAGCAUUCUGUUCCUGAUUUUAUGUUGCAGAUCAAGGCCAUGAAAGACACAUACUUACCUGAAUUAAAUGAGAUGUACCAGAAAAUUGCUGCCAAGUUGCGGCAGGUAUGUUUAUUCUUUUACAUAAUCAUAUAUGUUGAUUCCCUAACCUCCAAGGAGUGAUAGAACCCAUCUGCCCCGUAGUCUGCCACCCUGUGUCUCUAAAUAGAAUUUAGAGAGGACUUUACUGCUUCACAUUAGAAAGCUGUUGAACCCAUACCACUUUUGGGUUGCUACUUGAAUCCCCUUACCAUAGACACUGUUUAGUGGUUGCACUUAUGCAUAUCUGUUGUAAUAGUGGUUUGUAGUUUUACUUGCAUCAGUUGAAACAAUUUUAUGUGUACUAUUUUCCAGCAUGAUUCUCUUCCACAGCAGCCAAAGUCAGAGCAGCUUGAAAAGUUGAAAAUGUUCAAGAUCAUGUUGGAGCACAUUAUAUCUUUCUUAUCAGUUCCCAAAGCCAGUAUCUUACCCACUUUCAAGGAUAAGUUGAGUUUGUAUGAGAAGCAGAUAGUAAAUUUUUUAAAUACCAAUAGGCCAAGGAAGGCAGUCUCCGCACUGCAGCAAGGACAGCUUCCUCCGCCUGAUAUGCAUUCCGUGCCGCAGCCACAACCUCAAAUUAAUCAGACACAGUCUCAUGAUAAUCAAAUGAACCCUCAGUUGCAGUCAACGAAUUUACAAGGUUUUGUUCCAACAAUGCAGCCGAACAACAUGACAAGUUUGCAGCAUAAUUCUGUGUCUUCCUUACUGGGGUUGCAACAGUGCAGCAGACCAUGUUAAAUUCGCUGCAGCCCAGUUCCAAUUUGGAUGCAGGACAAGGUAAUGCCCUAGGCUCAAUGCAGCAGGUUGCUGCAGGACCUUUACAACAGAAUCCUGUGAGUACCUCCCAACAGGCAAAUAUUAACAGUUUAUCCUCACAAAGUGGGUUAAGUGUCCUGCCGCAAAACAUGAAUCCUUUUCAGUCAAAUUCCAACAUGCUUCAGCACCAGCAUAUGAAACAACAGCAGGAACAGCAAAUGCUGCAAUCACAAAUGUGCAAACAACAGUUUCAACUGCUUCAGAUGCAGCGGAAGCUGCAGCUACUGCAACAACUACAGCAACAGCAACAAAAGCAGCUGCAUGAAAUGGAUGAUAUAAAUGACGUGAACAUGAGACAGGGAAUCGGUGUUAAUCCUGGGGUUCUUCAAGCAAAUCUCUCAACUGGCCAACUUCCAGGUUAUUCAUAUGAGCAUUCAAAAACUAGUGCCCAAUUUCAUACAUCUUCACCCCCGCUCUUUCAGGCUCCAUUUGUCCCACCUACUUCAACCCUGUUGAGUCGAUAUCCCUCGCCUGAGAACACUGAGAAAUCUAUCUAUGGCGCUUCCUCUCUGUCAAAUAACAAAAAUAUUAGUCAGCAGCAAGCAGGAUCUGAAUUCCCUGCACCUGACACACCUGGUAAUGGUAUGUCAACAUCACCUUUGCUUACUGUGUUCGAAAAUGCUAAUGAUACUCACAGUAUUGCUUUAACAACUGAUUUUGGCAAGUCGAAGGUUACAGAACUGCCACAUGAUCCCAGAGUUACCAUGGUUAGUGAAGCUUAAUUUUCAUUCUUGACAUUCUCUUUUUUCAAUUUUCUCCUUUGGCUUGAUAUGUUGUUCAUGUAGUGAAAGAGUGGAAAAAAACCUUGAAAUCCUUGUCUUUUUUUUUUCCUUCUUUUUGACUUUAUCUUCUAAUAUAGUUUGUUUUAGCUUUUGAAAUGAUGUUGGUCUAUUACUAUUUUAUAAGUUUCGGGCAAAACCCAUGUCACUUAAAUCAUUGGAGGCAUCCGUUGUGAGCAUGGUUGAUGAGGCAGCCUCUGCAGUUGGUGUGGAUAUGGCCACCACGAGCAAGGGUGGUUUGCGUCGAAGAAAUUUCUUUCCACAAACUGGAAUCACUGGAGCCGAGAAAAUGAGAUUCUACAUGAGUGCACUAGCUAUAUUAGCUCUAAUGUUUUGGUUCGUUAUAAUAACAUCUGCAUGAGCAGUAGCAAACAAAUUUCCAAAGCUUUUUAUGCUUGGGUAAAGGAGGAAAGGCCCAUUGGUGGUAGCUUGGACUUCUCUUGUACUGAGUCAAGAUGAUACUAUUAUGACAAAUUGUUGACAGGUGUUUGCUUCUUGUAAGGUUUUUGAACUUGUUUACAUUCCAAUCAAAUAUAUUAGGAGAUGCAUGCUUCAAAGUUCAUGCCGUUUAAGCCUCAGUGCAUGCCGUUUCUGCCCAAUCUAGCCAUGUAAUAAUACUAAUUAUCUUACUAAACACAUAAUUUGAUUAAGCGACAAGGGUUUUUAGGGUUUUAUUUUUGAGUCGAUCUAAGGUUAUUCAGUACUUUUAGGUGAAGAGCAAACUAGAUUAGAAAUACCUCUAUGUAAUAAGAGAUGAAGAUCACUUUUAUUUUUCAAAAGUAAAGGGGGAAAAAGAACGAAAAGACAACAUAAAGCCGGUGUUGAUUUGACGACAUGUCACAUUUGUUGUCAAAUUUGAUAAAUAUUCAUUGAUGGAAAUUUAGAUUGCUUAAGAUUCUUACUUGCUAAGGGAUCUUUUUUUUUUUUUUUUUUUUUAUAAUAUCAUUAUGACUAUUCUUAGAUUUUAGAUUUUGUGGAAAUUUGAUUUUUUUAGAUAAUUUUAAGAAUAUAUUUUUUCAUAUACAUCUCAUGUAUAAACUUUUUUUUUGUUUAAAAAUAUGUUAUUUACUAUUUUUAACAAAAUUUAAGAAAAAAUUUUAGAUUUUAGUGUAUUUAAUAUUAAAAUUUAAAAUUUUUUUAUAAAAUUAAAAUUUUAUGACUUUAAUGUUAAAAAGUUUAAAAAAUCAUAAAAUUUAAUUUUAAAAUAUAAAAAAUAAAAAUUUUAAAUGUUAAAAAAAUACAACAUAAUUUUGAGACGUUUCAAAAAGGAAAGAUGGAAAAAAAGGGACAAAAAAAUGUGAUUUUAUUUAUAUAUAUUUUUCAUAAAAGGUGAAUCUUAAUUAAUACAAAUAAAAAUGUAAAAAAAAAAAAAAAAGACAACCAUUGAAAUCCAAACUUGGAAGGAAAAAAAAAAAAAAAGAUUAGGUGCGCCAACUUCAACAUGCUAGGUUCGCACUAGUAAAUUCCAAAUAUUGCCAUGUAAUUGUAACCUAAUUAUUUUGACUAAAAUCACUAUAAUAAUUUUGUUUUUCAGCGACGACAUGUGAAAAUGAUUUGUGAAAAAGUGAAAGAGUGGCUUAAGAAAUUUUAGCCCACGAUUUUUACCGUUGUCAAAGGUAAAAUUUUUGCAGUAAGGAAGUGAUAAACUCAACGGCCAAUGGCCUUCAAAUUUUUUUUUUCUUGCUUUCAAAUCAAAGAGCACCAUUUUUUUUUUUUUUCGUGUUAAUCGACUUGCUAGACCUUUUUUUUUUUAAUUUGAAUUCCAAAAUUUAAUUUUAAAAUCAAUUUUAAUAUUAUUAAAUUAAUUUAUAAUUAUUCAUUAUUAAGUGAAAUUUUAUAUAUUAAUCUUAAAAUGAUGAUUUAUAAUUAUUAUAUAUCAAAUUUAAAGUUUACCGUAUGAUAAUUUAUUUUAAUUCAUAUUGUAUUUUUCUUGAUAACAUAUUGAUUUAUUAUGAAUUGAUUUUUUUCUUAUGCAAAAACUUAUUUAAUUAAUUAAUUAUGUUUGUAAUAUUUACUUGUAAAUGCUUUUAGCUAAUUAUGUCCGAUAAAAGAAUUUGAUUUAUUGUAAAAUGGAAUUUGAAUUACUUGGGUCUUGAAAGAAAAUUAAAUAAUUUAGUUAAAUUAUAUAAUCAUCAACUAAUACUUUAUUAUUAUAAAUAAAUGAAUUACAAAUAUAUAUAUUAAAUCAUUAAAAAAUUUUCAAUUAAAUUUGAUAAUUUUAAAUAUGAUAUAUUUAUAUAAUAUAAAAAUUAUAUAAAAAAUAUGAAAAUUAUAUGAUUUAAAAUUUUAAUUAAAAUAAUAUAUAAUUUAAAAAUAAAAAAUAAAUUUCAUAUUUAACAUGAUAAUUUUAUACAUAUUAAAUACAAAAUAAACAAGAAAUAAAUAUAAAAUUUUUCUAAUUACAACGUUCCUUAUCAAGUUGAUUAGGAAAUUAGGAAAAUUUUCACCAUUCAUUUUGUAUCAAUUUUGUAAAAAAAUAUAAGAAAAACAUAUCAAAAGAAUUUCACUUUUUCCAAUACAAGUUUUUAUAAAAACAAAAAUAAUAGAUUUUAUUUUGAUAAAUAAAUUUGAGACAGACAAAUAUUUACAAAUAAAAUAACGUUAAAAUUUGAAUUUAAAAGAAGUAUAGGAACCAACCUUCAUUGCUUUAAUUAAUUUUAUUAUAACAAAAAUGUGGUUAAUUCCAAAAUAAAAAUGCAUGAUUGCAAAAAUAAUGUCAACAAAAAAAAAUAGUUUUUUGAAAGAGAAAAAUUCAAAAGUGUAAGGAAGGAAUAACAAUAAAUGUCCUAAUUGAUAAAAAAAAAAAUCAAAAUUAGGGUUUUUUUUUCUUUUUUAAAUCGUCAUUAUCUGUGGACAUGAAAAAUAAUAAUAAAAUAAAAACAAAAACGCAUACAAUAUACAAAGAUAUGUCCCUGUAAAAGUCAUUGCCAUUCACUUCGAUCCAACACAUGACUUUCUUUCCCUUCUUCCCGUCUAAGCUUCUUUUUUCUCUUUCUUUUCUUUCACUUUCUUUUCAACCAAACGAAUAAAUAUCAGUUGGUUUUCCUCCUUUUAUUUUCUUCUAAUAAUAUUUAUUUAUACGUGAGAGUUAGGUAUUUUUCCAAUUAUGCCAAAAAGAAACAAAAAAGAAAUUUUAUAAUUUGUUCUCUGUAUUAUCAAAUCAACGAUAAUCUGAGGCGUGGGUUUAAUUCAAUCUGGGAUUUGGUAUUUGAAAAAAAAAAUCCUUGAGGAAUUUUCGAAGCGGAUCUCUCUUGGAAGCUCUUCGUUGAGGUAAAAAUUUCAAACUUUUUAUAGGUUUUACAAUUCUGUUGCCUUAAUUUCCUCUAAAAUCUUACCUGGGAAUAUAUUUUUGACUGUAAGAAUAAAAUAUUUCAUUUUUUUUUAUUUAAUAUCACCCGGUAAUUAACUUUGUUUUUUUUUUUAAUCUUUUUGCUUUAAAAAAAAUUAGAAAGGUUGCUAGAAUAUUUGGAUACCCAAUAAUGAUAGCAACCCCCAAAAGCAGAUUAUUUCUAUUAAACAUAAUUUAAAUCAUGAAUUUUGUUUAUAUUUCUAAUUCUCUUUCUCUUUGCUUUUUCAUUUAAUGAUAUAUGAUAAAGUUCUAGUUAUGGGGGCUGAUUGCAUUGGGAAAAUGUCAAAUAUUUAGCUAGAAAAGUUUCAAGUGCAGUUGUUUUUGGUUAGAAGGCUCAACCUUUUAACCGUGAGCCUUGGUAGCAUUCUCAGAAGCCAACUAACAAUUAAUUCUUUAGUGAAUAGCAAUUGGUUGAGUAUUAGCAUUGCUUUCCAGUGAUGUGCUGGUCUAGUGGUGAAAGUAGUGGUGUUUUAGUGAGUUACAGUCCUCCUUAGGUGCAUGACCAAUGGCCUAGGACAGAGAGAAAAAUCGGAAUCUUAAGAGCCUUGUGAAGAAGGGUUUCCUAGUAUUAGUAUUAAAUCAACCAAAUUGACAUCCAAUUGUAAAGUUGUGGUUUACAUAGCAAACCAUCAUGUUCAACUUAAGUCAUGGUUGUAGGGUGUCUGUGAGUGUCUAGUAACAUGUCUUGUCAUUUUGUAAGAGUGCGGCAAAUGAUGUAUACUGUCCACUUUAUCUUACAACAUUAACAAAAAUGAAAUCCUGCUCUUAUGUAUAAAUUUAUGGUUGCAAAAACUGUGUUUUACCCCGAGUUUCUUAUCAAGAGAAGGGGGUUGUUUAUUGAAAAGAACUUUGUCAAAUGUUUUGCAUAUUUGAGAAGUGAUUUGUGUCCAAACUUACAAGUUUUUCUUUUUCACUUCCUUUAAUAUAUGACAAAAAAUUUGAUGUGAAUUGUUUGUGACUUUUCUUUUCUCUUUUGAUGUUGUCAGAAUUUGAUGGAUACCAAUAACUGGAGGCCUACUCCUGCCAGUGGAGAGCCCACCAUGGAUACAGGUGAUUGGAGAACCCAGUUGCAGCCUGAUUCACGACAAAGAAUUGUCAACAAGAUGUAAGUGAAUUUUAUGGUAUUAUUAUUUGUUAAAUAUACUUGUUGUAUUUAAGUUACUGAUAUUCUGUGGCAUGUCUUUUACAGUUUCAAUAUUGUUAAACCAAACAAUACCAUCAAUAAAACCAUAUAUCCUAUUCUAGAGCGCAUUCUUUGUUUUGUAAAUACAUAGCUCGAAAAUCAAAGCUUGCUCUUACCCAGAGUUUGGGCACAAUAUAUGGAUCACGUAUCUGGAAGCCUGAUGUGGCAAAGCUAUUGGGUCCAAUUCUGUGUGGCGUACUUGGUAUCGACAUUUAAUGAAUUUAUGUGAUUGAAUGAGGAUAAAUUUUACUUUUAGAUCUUUUGCUUCUUGGAAGCUUGGGACUUGUUUUCUCAUUCGAGUGCUACAGUAUAUGAAUUGAUGGUUCUCUUUUCUUCUUACUAACUCAAUUAUACCCAUUCAUUAAAUAACUUAUAGCUGUAACGGACACUAGUGGUCUUGCUUUUCUAUAUCAUUUUAUGAACGAUGGUAAUUUUGGUAUGUGGUCUAUUUGAAUGUAGCUGAUAUAUGAAGGUCAUGAUGGCCACUUUGUUUAUUUGGGAGAACUUUGUUAAAUUCCAAUGCCAUGGCUUCUGGAUAUUUGAAUGAGUCGGUCCUGAACAAGUUAAUGAGGAAAAUCUUUUGGUGGUCAGAUUAUAUCCUGGUUGAUUUUCAUUUGAUUUUAUGUUAACUUCACAAUUUGGUCAUGGCAUUGUUUUAUUAACCAUGGAAGAUUCUUAUAUAUAUCCUAUUGGUUUGUCGAUAACUUACACAAUGCCUUGUGUGCAUAGAAUGGACACAUUGAAGAGGCACCUUCCAUUUUCUGGCCAAGAGGGUUUAAAUGAACUCAGGAAAAUCGCAGUAAGGUUCGAGGAAAAGAUUUUUACAGCAGCAAACAGCCAGGUAAUCAUAGAAUAUUGGCAUUCCUUAACCUGCUUGGAUGCAUUGUUGUUUACCUAUAUUUUGUUUGUUUGCGUUGUGUGUAUGUAUCUUUGUGUUUCUUUUUUUUCUUAUUUAUAUGUAUAGACAUGCAUACACCUAGACUCCUUGUCAAUUACAUUGGAAGUAAAUAAGAAAGAAAUCCAGGGAGGAAAGAGAGCAGAGGUAGGAAAAAACAAAGACGCUAAAUGGAUAUUAAGCAUGGUUAAUAUAACAUAUUUGACAAUCUUGUCUUGUAUUUGAAUAAUGAAGUAAAGCUUGUUUACUCUAAUGCUGUAAUGGAUUUCUAUAUUCAGUCUGAUUAUCUAAGGAGAAUAUCCUUGAAGAUGCUUACUAUGGAGAACAAGUCUGAGAAUACCAUACCCAACACUGGGAAUAACAGCAAGGCCCCUGAUCCAGGUAAUAGCAGGAAACAGCAUUUUGCUUUGAUGUAAUCUAGAAGGAGGACAUUUUCCAUUUACAUGUCCUUUCUGUUCUUUAACAUGAAGAGUUGUUUAACUUGCAACAUUUAUGCACAUAUUCUUUCUGCAGCUAUUUGAAUGAAAAUUACCUAUAUUUUAACUCUUUUGUCCCCUUAACAAAGCGUGGUUGUUUUGGUGGGUUGGAGUUGUUUAAGGGAUAGAUUUGAUAAGCACCCAAAUAGAAAGCCCCAUUUGCUGUUCCCAUGAUUGAAGUCCUUCAGCAUGGGAUGCACCUCUUCAUGUGCUAGGCCUAGGAAUAAUUUUAUUAUUUUUUUCAUGAUCCUCAUGGUAUGGUUCAAUUGCCCUCACAGGUUUUAAGUCUAGUCAUCUUUUUGAAUGAAUUAAUUACUGCAUCAGUAUUUUUGGUGUUUAUCUUGUUCUAAAUGUUCUUCAAUUCAGUUCUUGUGGGUUCUUCCCAACUUUUCUUUCUGAAUAUAAGAAUCUUGGGUAGGUUGUGAGGGCAUGCAAAACCAAGUUCACAGUCAAGGGCAAUCAAUUCCUUUCCCAUUACAAAGUAAUAAGUCUCAAGCACAUCAACAACUGUUACCCCAGAGUGUUCCAAAUAACAUGUCAUCUGCUGGAGUUCAAAGUUCUACUGGUUUACAAUCUGGGAUGCCUUCUGUGUCUGGUCCAACCCAGAAUUCUAUACCUAAUGUUGUUGGCCAGAAUUCCAACAUGCAAAACUUGUCUGAAAUUUCACAGAACUCACUGGGGCAAGGGAUAUCUUCCAAUAUUUGUACUAAUCAUCAGAGGCAAAUGCAAGGAAGGCAACAGGUGCUACCGCAACAGCAGCAGCACCUUUGCUUGCAGGGUUCGAAAUUACCUGCACCUGACACACCUGGUAAUGGUAUGUCAACAUCACCUUUGCUUGCAGGGUUCGAAAAUGCUAAUGAUACUCACAGUAAUGCUUUAACAACUGAUUUUGGCGAGUCGAAGGAUACAGAAGAGCCACAUGUUCCCAGAGUUACCAUGGUUAGUGGAGCUUAAUUAAUUUUCAUUCUUCGCAUGCUCUUUUUUCAAUUUUCCCCUUUGGCUUGAUAUGUUGGUCAUGUGGUGAAAGAGUGGUAAAAAUGCUUGAAAUCCUUCUCUUUGUUUUUUUUCCUUUUGAUUUUAUCUUCUAGUAUAGUUUGUUUUAGCUUUUGAAAUGAUUUUGGUCUAUUACUAUUUGGUAUGUUUCAGGCUAAACCCAUGUCACUUAAAUCAUUGGAGGCAUCUAUUGUCGUCAUGGUUGAGGAGGCAGCCACUGCCGUUGGUGUGGAUAUGGCCGCCUUGAGCAAGGGUGGUCUGCAUCGAAGAAAUUUCUUUCCACAAACUGGAAUGACUGGAGCCGAGAAAAUGAGAUUCUACAUGAGUGCACUGGCUAUAUUAGCUCUAAUGUUUUGGUUCAUUAUAAUAGCAUCUGCAUGAGCAGUAGCAAACAAAUUUCCAAAGCUUUUAAUAUUUGGUUAAAGGAGGAAAGACGCAUUGGUUAUGGCAUGGAUUUCUCUCCUAAUAAGUCAUGACUAUUGACUGAUGAUACUAUUACGACAAAUUGUUGACAGGUGUUUGCUUAUUUAAAGGUUUUUGAACUUGUUUACAUUCCUAUCAAAUAUAUUAGGAGAUGCAUGCAUCAAAGUUCAUGCCGUUUAAGCCUCAGUGCAUGCAGUUUCUGACCAAUCUAGCCAUGUAAUAACACUAAUUAUCUAACUAAACACAUAAUUUGACCCUAGCUUUUUUUAUCAAGUGACAAGGGUGUUUAGGGUUUUAUGUUUGGGUCGAUCUAAGGUUAUUCAAUGCCUUUAGGUGAAGAGCCAUCUAGAUUAGAAAUACCUAGAUGUAAUAAGGGAUAAUGAUCACUUUUAUUUUUCAAGAGGAAAGAGAUAAAAAGAAGGUAAAGUUGGUAUUGAUUUGACGAAAUGUCACAUUUGUAGUCAAAUUUGCUAAAUAUUCAUUGAUGGAAGUGGACCCUUGCAUGUGCUGCACUGCCUGCAGAAAUUGGUCCCGUUUUAUUGCUUAAGAUUCUUACUCGCUAUGGGAUCUUUCUUUUCUUUUCUUUUCUUUUUUAAUGAUAUCAUUAUGACUAUUCUUAGAUUUUGUGGAAAUUUAAUUUUUUUAGAUAAUUUUAAGAAUAUAUUUUUUCAUAUAAAUCUCAUGUAUAUACUUUUUUUUUUGUUUCAAAAUGUCAUUUAUUAAUUUUAACAAAAUUUAAGAAAAAAUUUUAGAUUUUAGUGUGUUUAAUUUUAAAAUUUAAAUUUUUUUUAAAAUUAAAGUUUUAUGACUUUUAAUGUCAAAAAGUUAAAAAAAUCUAAAAUUUAAUUUUAAAAUAUAAAAAAUAAAUUUUUUAAAUGUUAAAAAAAUCCAACAUAAUUUGAGACAUUUCAGAAAGGAAAGAUUGAAAAAAAAAAAGGACAAAAAGAAUAUGAUUUUAUUUUUAUAUAUUUUUCAUAAAAAAUGAAUCCUAAUUAAUACGAAUAAAAAUGUAAAAAAAAAAAAAAAAGACAACAAUAGAAAUCCAAACUUGGAAGGAAAAAAAAAAAAAAGAUUAAGUGGGCCAACUUUAACAUGCAAGGUUCGCAUUAGUAAAUUCCAAAUGUUGCCAUGUAAUUGUAACCUAAUCAUUUUCACUAAACUUACUACAACAAUUUUGAUUUUAAGUGACGAUUUUUGAUUAAAAAUGUAAAUGAUAAAUUAAUAUUUGUAAGUUAUUCGGAUUCGAUUCGAAUAAAAUUCGAAUUCGAUUCGAUUAUUAUCGAAUCAAGUUCGAGUUCGAGUAAUUCGAUUAAUCGAUCGAAUCGAAUUCGAGUAUUUUAAUAUUUAGCUCGAGUAGCUCGUUAGUUUAAUCGAACUUUUAUAUUUAAAUUUUUUUUAUUAUUUUAGUUAAUAAAAUAUCUUGAAUUCGAGUUCGAAAUCAAGCACAAAUAAUCGAGUUCUUGUCGAACAUAAAAAUUGAACUUAUUUUUAUAUAUUUUUGAGCUUAAUCGAAUAAGUUCGAGUAGUUUGAAUUCGAUCACGAAUCGAGUUCGAAAUAAAAAAAUGAAUCUCGAUCGAACUCGAAUUGAAUAUCAAAUUACGAAUUGAGAAUCAAACUAUAAUUUAAAAUUCUCAUUGUAUCCACUUAACUCUUACUUUUGACAAUAAUUUUGUGAAAGAGUGGCUUAAGAAAUUUUAGCCCACGAUUUUUACCGUUGUCAAAGGUAAACUUUUUGUAGUAAGGAAGUGAUAAACUCAAUGGCCAAUGGCCUUCAAGUUUUUUUUUUUUUUUUCUUGCUUUCGAAUCAAAGAGCACCAUUUUUUUUUUUCGUGCUAAUCGACUUGCUAGAAUUUUUUUUUUUAAUUUGAAUUCAAAAAUUUUAAUUUUAAAAUCAAUUUUAAUAUUAUUAAAUUAAUUUAUCAUUAUUCAUUAUUAAGUAAAAUUUUAUAUAUUAAUCUUAAAAUGAUGAAUUAUAAUUAUUAUACAUCAAAUUCAAUUUUUAUCGUAUGAUAAUUUAUUUCAAUGUAUAUUGUAUUUUCCUUGAUAACAUAUUGAUUUGUUAAGAAUUGAUUUUCUUUUAUGUAAAAACUUGUUUAUUUGACUAAUUAUGUUUGUAAUAUUUUUUUGUAAAUGUAUUUAGCUAAUUAUGUCUCAUAAAAGAAUUUGGGUCUUGGAAGAAAAUUGAAUAAUUUAGUUAAAUUAUAUAAUAAUCAACUAAUACUUCCUUAUUAUAAAUAAAUGAAUUACAACUAGAUCUAUUAAAUUAUAAAAAAAUUACAAUUAAAUUUGAUAAUUUUAAAUAUGAUAUAUUGAUAUAAUAUAAAAAUUAUAUACAAAGUAAAAAAAUAAUAUGAUUUAGGAUUUUAAACAAAAUAAUAUGAAAUUUAAAUAAUAAAAAAUAUAUUUUAUUUUUAACGUAUUAAUAUACAUUUUGAAAUGAUAAUCUUAAACAUAUUAAAUACAAAAUAAACAUGAAAUAAAUAUAAAAAUUGUCUAAUUACAACACUCCUUAUUAAGUUGGUUAGGAAAUUAGGAAAAUUUUCACCAUUGAUUUUGUAUCAAUUUUGUAAAAAAAUAUAAGAAAAAAAAAUCAAAAGAAUUUCACAUUUUCCAUUACAAGUUUUUAUAAAAACAAUACUAACAUAUUUUAUUUUGAUAAAUAAAUUUGAGACAAACAAAUUAUUUACAAAUAAAAUAACAUUAAAAUUUAAAUCUAAAAUUAUUUUUUAACUGAAGUGUAGGAACCAACCUUAAUUGCUUCAAUUAAUUUUAUUAUAACAAAAAAGUGGUUAAUUCCCAAAUAAAAAUGCAUGAUUGUAAAAAUAAUGUCAACAAAAAAAAUACAAAUUUUUUAAAGAGAAAAAUUAAAAAGUGCAAGGAAGGAAUAACAACAAAAGUCAAAAUUGAUAAAAAAAAAAUCAAAAUUAGGGUUUUUUUUUUUUUUUAAAUCGUCAUUAUUUGUGGACAUGAAAAAUAAUAAUAAAAUUAAAAUAAAAACGCCGACAACAUACAAAGAUAUGUGCCUAUAAAAGUCAUUGCCAUUCACUACGAUCCAGCACAUGACUUUCUUUCCCUUCUUCCCGUCUAAGCUUCUUGUUUCUCUUUCUUUUCUCUUACUUUCUUUUCAACCAAACAAAUAAAUUUCAGUUGGUUUUCCUCCUUUUAUUUUCUUCUAAUAAUAUUUAUUUGUACGUGAGAGUUAGGUAUUUUUCCAAUUAUGCCAAAAAGAAACAAAAAAGAAAUUUUAUAAUUUAUUCUCUGUAUAAUCAAAGGUAAUCUGAGGCGUGGGUUUAAUUCAAUCUGGGAUUUGGUAUUUGAAAAAAAAAAUUCUUGAGGAAUUGUCGAAGCGGAUCUCUCUUAGGAGCUCUUCGUUGAGGUAAAAUUUUCAAACUUUUUAUAGGUUUUACGAUUCUGUUGCCUUAAUUUCCUCGAAAAUCUUACGUGGGAAUAUGUUUUUGACUGUAAGAAUAAAAGAUUUCAUUUUUUUAUUUAAUAUCACCCGGUAAUUAACUUUGUAUUUUUUUUAAUCUUUUUGCCUUAAAAAAAAUUAGAAAGGUUGCUAGUAUAUUUGGAUACCCAAUAAUGAAAGCAACCCCCAAAAGCAGAUUAUUUCUAUUAAACAUGAUUUAAAUCAUGGAUUUUGUUAAUAUUUCUAAUUCUCUUUCUCUUUGUUUUUUCAUUUAAUGAUAUAUGAUAAAGUUCUAGUUAUGGGGACUGAUUUCAUUGGGAAAAUGUCAAAUAUUUAGCUAGAAAAGUUUCAAGUGCAGUUGUUUUUGGUUAGAAGGCUCAACCUUUUAACCGUGAGCCUUGGUAGCAUUCUCAGAAGCCAACUAACAAUUAAUUCUUUAGUGAAUAGCAAUUGGUUGAGUAUUAGCAUUGCUUUCCAGUGAUGUGCUGGUCUAGUGGUGAAAGUAGUGGUGUUUUAGUGAGUUACAGUCCUCCUUAGGUGCAUGACCAAUGGCCUAGGACAGAGAGAAAAAUCGGAAUCUUAAGAGCCUUGUGAAGAAGGGUUUCCUAGUAUUAGUAUUAAAUCAACCAAAUUGACAUCCAAUUGUAAAGUUGUGGUUUACAUAGCAAACUAUCAUCUUCAACUUAAGUCAUGGUUGUAGGGUGUCUGUGAGUGUCUAGUAACAUGUCUUGUCAUUUUGUAAGAGUGCGGCAAAUGAUGUGUACUGUCCACUUUAUCUUACAACAUUAACAAAAAUGAAAUCCUGCUCUUAUGUAUAAAUUUAUGGUUGCAAAAACUGUGUUUUACCCCGAGUUUCUUAUCAAGAGAAGGGGGGUGUUUAUUGCUACGAACUUUGUCAAAUGUUUUGCAUAUUUGAGAAGCGAUUAGUGUCCAAACUUACAAGUUUUUCUUUUUCACUUCCUUUAAUAUAUGACAAAAAAUUUGAUGUGAAUUGUUUGUGACUUUUCUUUUCUCUUUUGAUGUUGUCAGAAUUUGAUGGAUACCAAUAACUGGAGGCCUACUCCUGCCAGUGGAGAGCCCACCAUGGAUACAGGUGAAUGGAGAACCCAGUUGCAGCCUGAUUCACGACAAAGAAUUGUCAACAAGAUGUAAGUGAAUUUUAUGGUAUUAUUAUUUGUUAAAUAUACUCGUUGUAUUUAAGUUACUGAUAUUCUGUGGCAUGUCUUUUACAGUUUCAAUAUUGUUAAUAACCAAACAAUACCAUCAAUAAAACCAUAUAUCCUAUUCCAGAGCGCUUUCUUUGUUUUGUAAAUACAUAGCUCAAAAAUCAAAGCUUGCUCUUACCCAGAGUUUGGGCACAAUAUAUGGGCCACGUAUCUGGAAGCCUGAUGUGGCAAAGCUAUUGGGUCCAAUUCUGUGUGGCAUACUUGGUAUCGACAUUUAAUGAAUUUAUGUGAUUGAAUGAGGAUAAAUUUUGCUUUUAGAUCUUUUGCUUCUUGUAAGCUUGGGACUUGUUUUCUCAUUCGAGUGCUACAGUAUAUGAAUUGAUGGUUCUCUUUUCUUCUUACUAACUGAAUUAUACCCAUUCAUUAAAUAACUUAUAGCUGUAACGGACGCUAGUGGUCUUGCUUUUCUAUAUCAUUUUAUGAACGAUGGUAAUUUUGGUAUGUGGUCUAUUUGAAUGUAGCUGAUAUAUGAGGGUCAUGAUGGCCACUUUAUUUAUUUGGGAGAACUUUGUUAAAUUCCAAUGCCAUGGCUUCUGGAUUUUUGAAUGAGACAGUCCUGAACAAGUUAAUGAGGAAAAUCUUUUGGUGGUCAGAUUAUAUCCUGGUUGAUUUUCAUUUGAUUUUAUGUUAACUUCACAAUUUGGUCAUGGCAUUUUAUUAACCAUGGAAGAUUCUUAUAUAUAUACUAUUGGUUUGUCGAUAACUUACACAAUGCCUUGUGUGCAUAGAAUGGACACAUUGAAGAGGCACCUUCCAUUUUCUGGCCAAGAGGGUUUAAAUGAACUCAGGAAAAUCGCAGUAAGGUUCGAGGAAAAGAUUUUUACAGCAGCAAACAGCCAGGUAAUCAUAGAAUAUUGGCAUUCCUUAACCUGCUUGGAUGCAUUGUUGUUUACCUAUAUUUUGUUUGUUUGCGUUGUGUGAAUGUAUCUUUGUGUUUCUUGUUUUUCUUAUUCAUAUGUAUAGACAUGCAUACACCUAGACUCCUUGUCAAUUACAUUGGAAGUAAAUAAGAAAGAAAUCCAGGGAGGAAAGAGAGCAGAGGUAGGAAAAAAAAAGAUGCUAAAUGCUAACUCAAUAUUAAACAUGGUUAAUAUAACAUAUUUGAUAAUCUUGUCUUGUUUUUGAAUAAUGAAGUAAAGCUUGUUUACUCUAAUGCUGUAAUGGAUUUCUAUAUUCAGUCUGAUUAUCUAAGGAGAAUAUCCUUGAAGAUGCUUACUAUGGAGAACAAGUCUCAGAAUACUAUACCCAACACUGGGAAUAACAGCAAGGCCCCUGAUCCAGGUAAUAUCAGGAAACAGCAUUUUGCUUUGAUGUAUUCUUGAAGUAGGACACUUUCCAUUUACAUGUCCUUUCUGUUCUUUUACAUGCAGAGUUGUUUAACUUGCAACAUUUAUGCACAUAUUCUUUCUGCAACUAUUCGAAUUAAAAUUAUCUGUAUUUUAACUCUUUUGUCCCCUUAACAAAGCGUGGUUGUUUUGGUGGGGUGGAGUUGUUUAAGUGAUAGAUUUGGUGAGCACCCAAAUAGAAAGCCCGUUUUGCUGUUUCCAUGAUUGAAGUCUUUCAGCAUGGGUUGCACCUCUUCAUGUGCUAGGCCUAGGAAUAAUUUUAUUAUUUUUUCAUGAUCCUCAUGGUAUGGUUCAAUUGCCCUCACACGUUUUAAGUCAUCUUUUUGAAUGAUCCUCGUGCUUCAGUAUUUUUGUUGUUUAUCUUGCUCUAAAGUUUCUUCAAUUCAGUUCUUGUGGGUUCUUCCCAACUUUUCUUUCUGAAUAUAAAAUCGUGAGUAGGUUCUCAGGGCAUGCAAAACCAAGUUCACAGUCAAGGGCAAUCAAUUCCUAUCCCAUUACAAAGUAAUCAGUCUCAAGCACGUCAACAACUGUUAUCCCAGAGUGUUCCAAAUAACAUGUCAUCUGCUGGAGUUCAAAGUUCUACUGGUUUACAAUCUGGGAUGCCUUCCGUCUCUGGUCUAACCCAGAAUUCUAUACCUAAUGUUGUUGGCCAGAAUUCCAACAUGCAAAACUUGUCUGGAAUUUCACAGAACUCACUGGGGCAAGGGAUAUCUUCCAAUAUUUUUACUAAUCAGCAGGGGCAAAUGCAAGGAAGGCAACAGGUGCUACCACAACAGCAGCAGCAGCAGCAACUAUACCAUCAGCAGUUACAACACCAACUUUUAAAGCAAAAGAUUCAACAAGGAAAUAUCCAGCCCUCACUUAUGCAGUCUCACAUGCCGCAACAGCAACAGCAAAACCUGUUACCAUCUACUCAGUUGCAAUCUUCCCAGCAAUCUAGUAUGCAAACAUCAUCUGUUAUGCAGCCAUCUGCCAUGCAAUCAACUCCUCUUACUGGUCUUCAAAAGAAUCAACAAUCUUCUCUACAACAGUCAGUCCUUAGACAGCAGCAACAGCCACAAGUGGCCACCAGUGCUGGUAUUCUUCAACAACAAACAGCAAUGACACAGCAGUCAAUGAUGCCUCAGCAGCAACAACAGCCUCCACAGCCACAGCAGCAGCCACACAUAAUGGGACAACAGACAAAUGCUGCAAAUAUACAGCAGAAUCAGUUAAUUGGACAACAAAAUAGCAUUGCGGACAUGCAGCAGCAGAGAUUGCUAGGCCAGCCUAAUAAUCUUCCAAACCUGCAGCAGCAGCAGCAGCAGCAGCAGUUAAUGGCUCAACAAAACCUCUCAAAUAUCCAUCAGCAACAGUUGGGUCCACAAAGUAAUAUUUCAGGAUUACAGCAACAGCAGCAGCAGCAACAACAAUUGAUUGGAACCCAGUCGGGUAACUCAAGCAUGCAAACUCAUCAGCAAUCUUUACACAUGCUACCUCAGCCUAAGGUUUCACUCCAACAAACGCAGCAGAGUGCACCUAAUUUGUUAGCAACUCAAGGACAGACAUCCCAGCAGCUGCAGCAGCAACAGCAACUGAUGUCACAGAUGCAAUCACAGACUACUCCGCUGCAGCAACAAUUGGGUUUGCAACAGCAGCCCAAUCAAUUACACCAAAAUAUGCAGCCUAGGCUUCAAGCAUCAGGUCAAGUAUCAAGUUCCUUGCUUCGAUCACAAAAUUUGAUAGAUCAGCAAAAGCAAUUGUAUCAAUCACGCAGAGCUGUUCCAGAGACAUCAUCGAGUAUGUUUUUGAAUCUAUGCAGUUGCUUAUUUUGUUCUUUCUUUGUCUUUCUGAUCGUGUUAUUUGACUAAUCUAUGUAAUUUUUUCCUCUGAUACUUGCACAUUUUAUCCUUGAAGCCUGAAAAAAAUCUAUUCUCUCAUAUAGCUACUAUAGUUGAUGCUAUUGUUUUGCUUUGCAUUUCUAUUACAGAAAAUAAUUUCCAUUCCAACUUUGGGGGGAUUAAGAGAAUAUCUUUUUGAACUUGUACUAUGUUGUCCUAUCAAAGCACAUUUUGCCUGGAUGCUUAGUCCAUAGCUAACAAAGACAAAUGCUACCAAAAUUAAUGGCACCCUUGCCUUCAUAAGCUGAUCAUGGGCACUGCCUGGCUUUUUAUGCCACCAGAAACAUUGUUGUUACCCAUGUCACUGCUAAGUCUCCACUGUUGUCACUGUGCUAUUAUGUUACUCUUAACACUCACUGCAGUUAUUUUGCAAUGGUUUUGUCAAACCACAAAGUAAUGGCUGGAUUUAAUCUAUUCAUUUUAUCAACAAAUAAUUGAUGCUGUUUUAUUCAAUGAGUUUUCAUGUUGGCUAUAAAACAUUCUUCUGGAAAUAAGUAAACUGUGUUUUGUGUGCAAAGAGAAGUGACCAUUUUGUUGGUUAAGUUCAAAAAGCAGAAACAAAAUGCAUAAACUCACUCAUGCUCUUCAUAUUCAUUUGAAAUUUAGAAUGGUGAGAUAUUUCUAGCAGUUUGUUUGAUUUUGUCGGGUUGGUGAGAUUCCUCUGUCCAACUUAAAUAUUGCUGUUCUUUCUGGUAAUCUAGCUUUCAAAAAUGUUCCUAUUACUUAAUUUAACAUAAAAUUAGGAUUAGGAGAUUGCAGUCCUGUUUGAGAACGGCUAGUUACUGUUUUUGCAUCAAAAUAGAGGGUAAACAUGCUUGCAAAUGUCAGAGGAAUUUUGUUUGGAUGAAGAAUGCAUAGUGAAUGACUGGAUAAGCAAGUGGGUGACAGUGAGCUGGUUCAUGCAUGCAUGAAAUGGUUAAAAGGGUGUCAAAACUCAAAAUUGUCUUAGUGGUGUUUUGAUUGAGUUUAACGGCUUUUAUUGAAACAUUAAAUUUGUGCUGUAGAUGUAAUUAAGUUUUAUAUGAACCCUAUAUUCCUUGAGUCUAAUUUGUGCCCUAAAUUUUUUUAAUACUUUAGUUUGACUCACCGUUAUUUGCUUGAGAUAUUUAUUUUUAAUGAAUAACAAGUGUGUAGCAGAAAAUAGUUUAACUUUUUUUUAGGUCUUCCUUCUCAUGAUCACUUAAACUUAUCUAUCAUUUACUCCUAUUCCAACUGAGCUUCUUAGUUAUAGAUGACAAAUGUAUAGUUAGCUUUUAACUUGAGAAACUCUAUAAGUAGCCUUGAAAAAUAAGAGUGAUGUUUGAACUUGGAGUUUGUCUCUAUGUGUCACAAUGGAAAGUCAAAAUUAAAAAAUUUUCUGCUUUUGUAAACGUGCAUCUUAGAAUAUCCUAAAAUUAAAAGGCAUUGAAAUUGGGAUGUAGGGAGCAUGUUUUUAAUGAGUAACCUCUAAAACUUGGAUAUGCAUGGUUAGUUGCAGAAACUAGCAAUAAAAUUUUCUCAUAUGUUAAUGUCCAAAAUGUUUAAUGGUUUCUUCAAAUGCCUUUCAGUUGUAACCCAUGGUGGAUCUGAUGGAAUUUUGGGACACAGGAAUUGAUUAUUGGUUGUAUUAUGAUCUCUGUCGAUAUCCCCAUCAAUGCUAUGUGUACUUUAAUUUGCUUUCAGAGUUGGUUGUUUUCUGCUCAUAAUAUACCCUUCUUCCACAAAUUAUCUAUUUCAGUGUUCUUUUACAUAUAUGCAACAAAAUCAUGUACCUUCAUGCGUAUGGAACAAUUUUCUUUCAUUUAAAUUAUGUUUUCCUUGCUUAUUCUUCUUCCUCCAUAAAUCUCCAUUUUCUGAUGUGUGCGCGGUUUAUUUAUCUUUUUUUGUUUUUAGCAUCUUUAGAUUCCACAGCUCAAACAGGACAUGCAAAUGGGGGUGAUUGGCAAGAAGAGGUCUAUCAGAAGGUAAAAACUAUCUUGACUUAUUCUCCUAUAGAUAUUAUUACAGUUUCAACUUGGUUUUAAGGAGGUUUUAGGUGUAGGAAAGUGGUUCUGAAAAAGAAUAGAGUAUGUUGGGAUGCGUCUUAUAGCAGGAACUAUAAAAUUGAAGAAGUAGGAGCUUAAAACAUAUUUGGUAAAAGAAAUUUCUGAUAUUUUCUGAAUUACUUAUUACUUUGUUAAUAAGAACUUGAAUUCUUUUGGCUUGUUCUUAGAAGAAAUAAAAUAAAGCUUAUUUAAAUGCUUCAGCUCUCUACUAAAGAUCUAUUAAAAUUGGUGAGCAAGAAACCUAAGACCAAGGUUAUCUUGCAUGCUUGACUUCAAAGUAAUCAUCAUUUAUGGAUUCCUUUGUUUCUUCUGUUAUUAACUAAUAUCAGUGCCCGCUAUUCAGAAAGUGGAAAAAUCUUGUUACUUUUCUAAUAAAUCAUGGCACUUGGAUAAAUUGAGUGGUUUAAUUGUUGGUUAAGCAUUCUGUUCGUGAUUUUAUGUUGCAGAUCAAGACCAUGAAGGAGACAUACUUACCUGAAUUAAAUGAGAUGUACCAGAAAAUUGCUGCCAAGUUGCAGCAGGUAGGUUUAUUAUUUUACAUAAUCAUAUAUAUUCAUUCCCUAACCUCAAGGAGUGAUAGAACCCAUCUGCACCAUAGUCUGCCACCCUGUAUCUCUAAAUAGCAUUUAGAGAGGACUUUACUACUCCACAUUAGGAAACUUUUGAACCCAUACCACUUUUGGGUUGCUACUUGAAUCCCUUUACCGUAGACACUGUUUAGUGGUUGCACUUAUGCAUAUCUGGUGGAAUAGUGGUUUGUAGUUUUACUUUCAUCAGUUGAAAACAAUUUUAUGUGUGCUAUUUUCCAGCAUGAUUCUCUUCCACAGCAGCCAAAGUCAGAGCAGCUUGAAAAGUUGAAAAUGUUCAAGAGCAUGUUGGAGCACAUCAUAGCUUUCUUAUCAGUUACCAAAACCGGUAUCUUACCCACUUUCAAGGAUAAGUUGAGUUUGUAUGAGAAGCGGAUAAUAAAUUUUUUAAGUACCAAUAGGCCAAGGAAGGCAGUCCCAGCACUGCAGCAAGGGCAGCUUCCUCCACCUCAUAUGCAUUCCAUGCCACAGCCUCAACCUCAAAUUAAUCAGACACAGUCUCAUGAUAAUCAAAUGAACCCUCAGCUGCAGUCAAUGAAUUUACAAGGUUCUGUUCCAACAAUGCAGCCGAACAACAUGACAAGUUUGCAGCAUAAUUCUGUGUCUUCUUUACCUGGGGUUGCAACAGCGCAGCAGACCCUGUUAAAUUCAAUGCAGCCCGGUUCCAAUUUGGAUGCAGGACAAGGUAAUGCCCUAGGCUCAAUGCAGCAGGCUGCUGCAGGACCUCUACAACAGAAUCCUGUGAGUACCUCCCAACAGGCAAAUCUUAACAAUUUAUCUUCACAAAGUGGGUUAAGUGUCCUGCCACAAAACAUGAAUCCUCUUCAGUCAAAUCCCAACAUGCUUCAGCACCCACAUUUGAAACAACAGCAGGA
Molecule: long non-coding RNA, 65039 nt
Filed under: Durio zibethinus
Lineage: Eukaryota; Viridiplantae; Streptophyta; Magnoliopsida; Malvales; Malvaceae
Description: long non-coding RNA (DZIB_LNC001228)
Source: RNAcentral